GCUUGGAACCUUUCCCUGAGUGCCUGCCUAGCACUGCUCUCGAGUACUCGUCUUCCACUGCUGCUGUACUUUCAAAGAAGCUACCAUAUCUGCCUGGAGAACAGAUAAGGCAAGUGAAAAUGAUACCUUGCAGCAUGUGGAGACAAGGUGCAGAAGGAACAAGCAGAGAAGAAUGCGUUCUGCACAGUCAACUCAGCAGAAGAAGUCCGAGCUGAAGAACUCGAGAAGCUGCCACAUCUGCCUGAAGAAACAAGCAGAGAAGAAUGCAGCAUGCACAGUCAACUCAGCAGAAAGAGUCUGAGAUAAAGAACUUAAGAAGAUGCCACAUCUGCCUGAGGAACAGAUAAAGCAAGGGAAAAUAAUACAUUGAAGCAUGUGGAGACAAGCACAACAAAGCACGUGCCGAUUCAUCCGCUGCUUCUUCAAAAUCAAAAGUAUCUCAUAUCAUCAGGGUUGCAAUCACUCUGGACGGUGAACUCGUUUUGACCCUGAAAUUCUUGGGUCGACUUACUAGGUGUUGUGGGAUGCACGUGCCGAUUCACCACCCUUGAAUCGAAUCCUUAAAGAUCAAGUCACCAACUGGAAGAAAGCCCCAUCAAUCUUGAAGAUCAUACCGUUGACCAAACUGCUCAGGUGUGAAUUAGAAAGAUUGAACAAAGAAACAGGUUGUCACCUUUACCUCGUGCCUGCUUGCCAUGUGUUCGAGUCAACCUUUAAGAAUCAAGCCUCAACGGCCCUUGAAGAAGUUUCCAACCAAAUUCAAGAUCAAGCCUCGACGGCCCUUGAGGAAAUCACAAGUCCAAUUCAAGAUUAAGUGUCUACCACCAUUGAAUCAAAACCUAGUUCAAGAAUAAGUUGUGGAAAAUCAACAAUUGGAGGAAUCCAGAAAAUCCUCCAACCCAGUUCAAGAUCAAAGCUGUGGAAAGUCAACAAGCGCAACAAAAUAUGUGCCGAUUCACCCACUACCAAAGCCAAAGAUCAUCUACCACAUGAAGCUCCUUGUGGUCCAAUUUCAACCUUCAAGAUCAAGCCUCGACAGCCCUUGAAGAAAUUUCAAACAAAAGUUCAAGAACAAGCCUUAACGGCCCUUGAAGAAAUCUCAAGCCCAAUUCAAGAUCAAGCUUCAAUGGCCCUUGAAGAAAUCUCCAGCCUAAUUCAAGAUCAAGCCUCGACGGCCCUUGGAUUGACAUCUACAGUAAAGGACUUCAAAACGCAUCUCCUACACGUGACAAGCACAUGUAUACGACGCGCCUUGAAGUGGGGGCAUUUGUAGACAUCGAAAUUUCGGUAAAUAAAUGUUGACCGAUAAAUCAAAGUGUCAACGCUCAUGUAUUACAUAAAUUUUACACGUAGCGUGUGACUCAACGAAAAUUGAAAUGAGUUGGAAAAGUCAUCAAAUAGGACACGUGUCAACACCUGGCAGAAACGACUUAUUUCAUCUGGGAUAUUAUAUUCAAAAUUAGGCCUUGGAAAAUUCUAUAAAUACAAGCCCAUUUCAUUCAUUUGAGGGGGAACCAAAAUCAUUAGGCAAAAUUCUUAAAGCUCUGAAGUUCUGAAACUCUAAAACUCCGAAGCUCUCAAGCAUCCAGGUUCCCGAAGAAUCAAGAAAUCUCUCUUCGUUCUUCGUUCAUCGUUCUUCGUUCAUCGUUCUUCCAAGAUCAAGCCCCAACGGCCCUUUGGAUCAACAAUCAUCCACCACUUCAAGAUCAAGCCCCAACGGCCCUUGAAGAAAGUGUUCUUCGUUCUUCGUUCUUCGUUCAUCGUUCUUCCAAGAUCAAGCCCCAACGGCCCUUGAAGAACUUCCACCAAUUCAAGAUCAAGCCCCGACAGCCCUUGAAGAAAGUAUUCAUCGUUCAUCAUCCGUUCAUCCAAGAUCAAGCCCCAACAGCCCUUUGGAUCAACAAACGUCGACAAAUCCACACAUCCAACCGUUCUUCAAGAUUAAGCCCAAAAGCCCUUGAAGAUCCGUUCAUCACUGUUCUUCAAGAUCAAGCCCAAAAGCCCUUGAAGACCCGUUCAUCAUCGUUAUUCAAGAUCAAGCAUUAACGGCCCUUGAAGAAAUACUCAUCAAACCCCAACGGCUUAUUGAAGAUCCGCUCAAAUCCACCUUCAAAGAUCAAGCCCACGGCCCCUUGAAAGAAACUUCCAAUAGUUCAUCCAAGAUCAAGCCUCGACAGCCCUUGGAUCAACGAAACAUCCACAAAUCAACGCCUUACGGAGAUCGAAUCAGAGGAUCAAAAUUGAGAGAGAUUGUAACCCAAAAUCAUCAAAUACAUAAUAUUUGUUUGUGCACGUUGUUCUUGUCUCUUUCGUUUCAGGAAUUUUCCGUGUUUACAGUCAUUUACGCUUUAUUCUUCUUACUGAAUUUCAUUUUUAAAAUUUUAUUUUUUGAAAACAUGAUCAUCUGGCGGAUGUAAGAAGAUGAUAUCAUGUUUCUAUAUUUACGGUUAACUGAAAUAUGAGUCAAUGUCAUAUAAUUUGUAGAAACUUUAUAAACAUCAAGCAAUAUUUUCACUAACCGUAAAACUCUAAAUAUAAUAUCAACGAUCCAAACCGUUCAUCUACCUACACCCUCUAAUAGAUCAUGUUUUCAAAAAUGAAAAUCUAAAAAAACGAAAUUUGAUAAGAACAAUGAAGCAUAAAUGUAAACAACAAUCAACGGUUAAAUUUUGAUCUAUGAAUUAUAUGAUUAUAGUAGCGAAUUUCGAAGUUAAGCUCUUCAUAAAAGUUAUAAAGCUUAUCAUUAAGAGUGUUUAUAUAUUUUUUUCUAUAUUUUUUUACACUUCUACAUUAAUUAAAAAACUAUUAAAGACUUUAGGUAAGCGAAAAUAUACUUCAAACAAAAUUGUGUUUUUAUGUUUUGGAUGUGAUAAUAUGGAAUGUAUAUACUUAUUUAGUAUUAUGUUUUUCAUUUGAUUAUUUAUUGGUUUAAAAUAUAUUUUUCUUAACGGGUAACGGGUCAGGUCAUAUUACCUGUUAAUAUUAUCGGGUCGAUUUCGGGUCGGGUCAUUUUACCCGUUUAUUUUAACGGGUGUUACACGACACGACCCGUUAAGAUAUCAGAUAUGACACGAAAACGACACGAACACGGAAAACACGAUACGAAUGCCAAGUCUAAUAUAUAUAUAUAUAUGUAUAUGUAUAUGCUUAUAUCUUAAUUAUGGGAAAAUUUUACAUGUUUUACAGCAAGGGGUUAGUAUGUUGAUAAAUGAAAUGGUUUUGUAAAACAUUUGUUUUUGCCCACUCACGUUUUCUAUUUUGCGCCCCUUUAGGUUUUAAGUAAGCUUGUUGUUGGUGGCUUGAGGAUGUUGGCAGUUCUGACUUAUCUAAAUAAUAGUAGGACAUUUCUGGUACUGUAUAACUAGUACUUGUCCUACUGGACUACACCUAAACUUUAUGCUCUGAUUAGGAGUGUUCACUGUUGUAACUAACACUAUCACUUUCUGUUUAGUAGUACACUCUAGUAAUUUGGUUUUUAAUUAUUCGUAUAUUUCUUAUCUUUAUUGCUUCAGCACUACGCACAUGGCUACGUCACUCUCACGUGACGUCCAGCAUGCCUUGAUCUCGGUCGGGGUGUGUCAGUGAAUGUUCAUGCUAUCAGGGUUGCAAAAAUAUCAAGAUAAAAACCUUUGUUUUGGAAGAACCUGAUUACGUGAUGAUAUAGAUGAACUGGUUUGUUGCAAAAAAAGCUUCAUUGUUAGAUUCUUAAGUGCAGCAGUAAGAGCGUGUUGUAGCUUAUUUUAUCUCACUACAGGGUAUGGGCAAUGGCAGGGAGAGACGUGUUUGUAGAAUCAUAGGGGAAUGUGUGUUGAGAAUGUGUUAUCUCCCUACGCAGUGCUUUUAUUUAUAGUAAUAAGAGGAAGAAUAAUUCCUUCAUCCCUAAGUAAUACAAAUCCAUAUAGGAAAGAAUAACUAAAAUAAAAUCUAAUCUAGGAUUUACACAAUCACACUUAAAUUAGGAAAGUUUAUAACACCAUCUAAAUUCUAAUAAUUAAUUAUACUUUUUUUUUAAACUAAUUAAAAGGGUUUGAAAAUUUUGAGUUUUAACGAUAUAAAGUGAAUAGUACCAAGAUUAAUUUUUUAGUGUAAAAAUGUGGUUUUUCGUUAAAGUGAACAGUACUAGAAACUUUUCUUUAAAGUUCCUUUUUUUUUUUUUUUUGAUUUUUUUGAUUGGAAAAAUAAAAAAAAUAAAAAAGGUGGAGGAGGGUGCAUCAUGCAGUGGCACGUGACUUCACACGAACGUCUUCCAGGAACUCAGGAAUUAAGCAUACAGACAAUCGCCGAAAGGUCUUCAAUUUGGGGUCACAUGAGUUAACUACGUCCGUCCGAUCAACAUACUUUUCUUGUUCCAACAAUCCAGCCGUAAAUAAUUAAACGCCACCAUAGCAUCGUACACCUGAAGCAACACCGUAAUAUAUCUCCUCUUGGCGAGCCGGAAGAGCAAGUGUCUUUGUUCUUCGCUGGAAAUAUUUUUCUAUUCAUUUUCUUUUCCGAAUUCCGAUUAUCCAAACGGGAGCGAGGAAGAAGAAUCCGUCGGACAAAAUCUCACUGACCGGAGCAUCCAAUCCAAAUGGCGGUUUCCGUGACGGCGUCCACGAUUCCUUCUCUCAGCUCUGACCGUACGACUCGCUUAGCUGCGGCGGCGGCCUCAUCCUCCUCCUCUUCUUCUUGUUCAAAGCUGUCUUCCUCUACUUCUCUGCGAUUUCCGGCGCAGCUUCGACGUGUUCGGAUCGGAACUCAGGACUCACGGCCUCGGCUUCUUCCUCCGGUAAUGAAUUUUCCGUUUUUGUAGUUUCGUAGUCUGUUUGUUUCCCGAGAAAAUCGAGGAAUUUAACCUGAUGAAAUUGUGUAGCGUUAAAAUUCCUGUUCUAAAAUUUCUGUGUUUUGUAGUGGAAGAGAUUGCAAAAUUUAAAUUUAGGAAGCAAAGCAUACAACUGCAAAUCUUGUUGUUAUCAUAUUUAUGGCCCAAACACCAAUUGCUUUGUAUUUCUUUGGUCCUUGCCGUUUCCUAUGAGUUGUGAGAAAAUCACAUGGGUCGGUUUUCGGAGUUUCCAAAUUUUAGUCUUUUCAAGAGAAUAAAGACAUUUAAUCGAAAAGUGCAGGAAAAGUAAACUCAGAGGAUGGUUUGCAAGACAUAGAUUUAGCAUGCUACAGGAGGCAUGUGGAAUAUAGAGCUUAAGGACAUGGAACUCACUAUUGAUUGUCUUUGAAAUGGUUUUGUACUUGAUUUUGGCGCACGCAGUUGAUUUUUUAGACUAUCGGUAAACUAAUUUGGAAUCAAACCUCUCUCAAACAAUUAGAAUGCACAAUGUCACCGAUAUAGGAUAUUAGGUUGCAUCAGUUUGAUCUUCCCCCAUUUUCCAGGUAAAGUACCUUUUCAUGAUAACCGUUUGGGGCAUAAAGUUGGGAAGGGACAACCUAGAACCAAAAUUAUUGAAUGGGAUGAAAGGUGUAGAUUGUAAAACUUGGAUAGUAUAUCUUGUAACGAUUUGAAUGAUAGAGACAGUGAGCAAAUCCAUAUUCGGGGCCUUCAUGCAUGGACUCGAGUGUUCUUUAAUCAUCUAAUCAGAAGCCGAUUGUUUAUACCAGUCAAUCGACGGUCCUCCUAUCACUACUGGCUUUGCCUCAAGUUACAAGUGAAGUUUCAAUUCAGGAUGAUGACCUAUCAUGUUGAAGAUCAACACCAGCCCAAUUGGUGUUUGGAUUCUAGAAGAUUCUAGCAGCAAGUCUAGAGGGCAGAGCUUCCUGAAGACUUGCACUUUGUCCAGGUGCAAUGGAACUAGAUUUUUCUAUAGAAUUAUCUAAAGCUAAGUAGUCUUUUGUAGAAAGGAUUAGAAGGAUGUUUCUUAUGUCGGUGGAAGGCUGUGUGCAUGAUCAAUGCACUAGAAAGUUCUAGUGAUAGUAUAAGUCGGCAAACAUGCCUUAUAAAUAUGUAUGUAUGAGUGUUGUAAUGUAACCAAGAAGAAGUAAGAGAGCAAACCAAGAGAGAGCUAAGUAAGAGAGUGAGAAGCCUUGUAAGUGAGUAGUCUUGUAAAGAGUGUGAGUGGUCUAGAGUUUGUCUCUAGAAGUGAGAGAGUGUCAUACGUUCUAAAUUGUGUCCUUGAUAGUUGUUGUGUUGUAAUAUUCUGUGAGUUAAUACAAGUAAUUUGUUUACUUGUUUUGUCUCUCCAACACUUGUGUUAGAGCUGUGUAUUCUAGUUUUUCCUCAACAUAUCACUUAGGUGGUUAUCCAUAUGGACCAUGUUGUGACAGUUUCAAUAGCUGCGUGUACUCUUUCUUUGCUGUCUUUGGAAUAUUUAGCCUGUAUAGCUGAAUUACGAAGUGUGACUGAAUUGGUGAUUCAGUAAUUACAUGUAUAUGUGGAAAAAAAAUUACUUUUCGUAGGUUGAAGCAAAGAAGCAAACAUUUUCAUCCUUCCAAGAUUUGCUGGCUACCUCUGAAAAACCUGUGUUGGUUGACUUCUAUGCAACCUGGUAAGCUUUUCUUGUGUAUCUCACUUCUUAUUUUGUUUGCAAUUUGUCAUUAUUGUUGUAUUGUCAGCUAAACUUUAAUUCCUAAACAAGGUGGUAGCUAUUCACCUUUUAGGUUUUCCCUCUCUAUAUAAAGGUAAGAAUAGACAAUUAAGUAAUAAACUCUGGUUGACAGGUGUGGACCUUGUCAAUUUAUGGCACCCAUCCUCAAUGAAGUCAGUAUUACGCUGAAUGACAAGAUCCAGGUUGUGAAAAUUGACACAGAGAAGUAUCCUAGCAUUGCUGAUAAAUAUAACAUACAAGCAUUGCCUACUUUCAUCAUAUUUAAGGAUGGAGAGCCAUUUGACCGCUUUGUAAGUUGAAUUUGUUCUCUUUUUUCCUUUGGGAGAUUAAUAUGUUUGCCUUUGGUAGACGAUCAAAUGUCUAGAAAUGUGUAAUCUGUCACAUAACAUCUCAUACUGAUUGCAUGCUUUUUAUACGGCCAGAAUAUGGACGGGUAUUGUCAAGUUGUUACGAUUUGCUGUUAAUUCCACUUUUUAGAUUUUGUAAGAUAUCCUAUGCACUUGCAUUGGUUUACAAUUUCGUCAGGUGUGUUGCUUUGCAUGCUUUUCUUCUUCUUUUGCUUAGUUUUGAUUCGAAGAUGUUGAAUUUUAAGGAUUUAUGUUCUCUUAGAUCCAAAAUAUUAAAUAGAAUAAAUAAUGUAUGUUCUCCGUGCAUGUAUGCAAGGCACUGUUAGAUUAGUUUUGGCGGUUUUUCUUUUUGGUUUUUUGGUCGAUUUUAAAUAUCUAUGAUGACUUUGCUUUCAUUACUUGCAGGAGGGUGCUAUGACUGCUGAUCAGCUUGUCGAACGAAUAGAAACUACUUUGAAAGUUAAGUAGGAGACAGGUGAGCUCUAUAAUAUUCGUGAGUUGAGAGCACUCGUAUCGUCCGCUGUUCUUUCUCUGCUUCCUCCUCCCCAUUUCCUAACCUUUCCUUUUUCUUCACUCUUCAUUUAUUGGUCCAGCUUCUCAGGUUGAACCGAGAAGCUGAUCGAUUCAGCCGCAUUGCAAGAAAAAUGGAUUUUAUGAAGAAAGGCACUGGAUGUUUCCUCUGCUUUUUUAUUUUUUGUAUGUAACUGGUUUGUACCAACAAAAAAGUUACGAGACUUGGCGUAAUCGCACGGGUAAAGCUUAGUGAAAACAAUUUUACGAUGUCAGUUUCUGUUGUGAUAUACACAUCCACAUCAGUUGCAUUUGAUUGAAAUUCAUGAUUUGGAAAAGUUAAUGAAAUUUUGUGGACAUUCAUUUCAUUUGCAAUGCAACUUAGACCUUAUUGGCAAUUGGUUUGUGGACACAAGAUUUACUACUUAAUUUGGAUACCUUGUCAAAUUAGAGUCAAUAAUUAACAAUGGCAUAUCUAGUAAGAAGUUAUUUCUGCAUGCCUCCCUUCCCAUUUCCUACGGCUGUUUAGCUUGCAAGCACACAAAUCAUUUGUAAUAAAGAUAUGCAAAUACGAGAUCAAAUUCAUCGAGAUUGAAUGAACAAUAAUUUGGUAUCUUAUGUUUAGCUGCGGACAUGACUGACCUCAGGAGGUCUCAAUGGAAAAAAUUUCAGAAAAAAUGUAGACAAAAGUAACAUUGAGGAAUUAAAUGAUAAUUCUUUUCAUUCGUAAAUAAUAGUGUAAACAAUGUUAUUACAAUCUACAAAGUCCAAAAUUAUCAUCGACGAGUUUUCAUAUUUUGAAAAUGUUUAUGAUAGUUUCAUACUCAACGAUCAAUCCACAACUCUAAUAACUGAAAUUUGAGAAUAAUGAGUACAAAUAGUGAACUUGAUACACUAGGAAGCUUAAGGAGGUCCCAGAAAGUCCAUAUUCGGGGCCUUCAUGCAUGGACUCGAGUGUUUCUUAAUCAUCUAAUCAGAAGCCGAUUGUUUAUACCAGUCAAUCGACGUCCCAGAAAGUCCGCUCUUCUGCUUCGACGUUGCUGAACCCGCUCUACCAUGGAGACGGCUCCCUCCUCGUCUUCCUACCCAUGGCACGGGUUUAGUCCUCCUUGAUGGUCAGCUAAUGUUCACCUAAGCUUUCGCACUUAGUAAACAAGCCUUCACUAGUUGCCUGGAACAUAACUACUAUUACUAUGAUGAUUAUUACGCCGACCACCACGGCGUUUAUAAUGCUUCUGGUUCUAAUUGGGGUGUAGUAGCCUGUCAACUGUCCAGUACCGAUUCCGAUGACUUCGGAACUUGGAUUAAGCCCAUCCAAAUUCUGGAGCCAAGGUUGCCGAGUGAAUUUUGGGGGCGAUGCACACUUAUAGCUUUGCUCAUCUAGGAGGUUCAAAAGUAUGCUUUGUUCUUUCCAAUCCCAUCUCGCACCCAAAAAAAAUUUGUCUUUGGAAGGUGCGUCUUCUUGUUCAAACUUUUGAGUUUUCCUUCUCCAAACAAAGUACCACCCUCACUAGUGCUGCUUUAUUUUAUUGUUUUUUAUUUUUUGUUUUUUUUGGAAAACCUUAAUGGUAUAAGGGUAAUUUUAUUGAUAACAAAAAAAUAAGUUACACCUAGACAGAAGGGGACAUAAACCUUACCCCUCAUAAAACAGAGACAAUAAAUAGGAAUACACGAAAAAGAAGGGGGAACAUAAACCUUACCCUUCUAGAAAUAAAAAACGAGAAUGAUACAAAGAAAAGAGGGGGGGGACAUGAAACAUAAUCCCUCUAAAACCAAACCUAAAGGUCUAAACUUGCAAAACAAGUCAAACAACCCCAUAAAGUUAGGAGAAAAAAAAAAGUGAGACAAACCUGGAUGCCGACAUGCACAUUAAUUUGAGAAGCAAUAACCAGGCAAGCCAACAUAGUCUGAAAACAAAGCAGCACAAACCGCCAUCGGAGGAGAAUCAUGCCAAGUUAAAGAUGGAGAAGACAAUCCCAUGUUAGCAAAAUUGUCUGCAACAAGAUUUACUUCACGAUGUACAUGAGAUACAUAGAAAGUCAUUUUCCGAAUACGAUCUAAACAAAUAGACCAUUGCGUAUGAAGAGGCCAAGGAGGAUCAAAAUUAGACGAUUGAAGAGCAUAAAUAACACUAGAACUAUUACUUUCAAACCAAAGACAAUGCCAACCCUAUUGAUAUGCAAACUCAAUACUAAUAAUAAUUGCUAAUAACUCUGCAAAAAAAAAAAAAAAAGUUGCGAUGACCAAUGCAUUGACAGAAACCUCCAAGAAAACAACCAUGACAAUUCCUGAAAAAUCCUCCACAUGUAGCAGGAUCAGAAUUUCCUUUAGACAAACCAUCUGUAUUAAGCUUAAACCAAGGAAACCAAAGGACAGGAAGAAUAGUAGGUGCCUUGCGAGGGAUAGGUUGGAUCCCCAAAGAAGAAAUGAUCCGAGUGUCAAAACCUUGAGAAUAACCAGAAAUAAACUUCCCACCAUGAACAAUCGCCGAAUUGAUAGAAAUGCAAAAGACGAUGAAAAUAGAUUGGACGACCCUAAAAAAUAAAUUUAUUUUGAGCCUUCUAAAUAGCUGAAAUAGUAGAAAGACCCGCAAAAAUCCAUAGAUUGUGCAACUGUUUGGAAAAUGGCUUACAGACAUAGACAUCCCAAAAAACAACCAAAGAAUCUGAAAGAGGCAAAAAUGUACCAAAUUAACAUACUAACCACCUCCAAAGUUGCCUAGAUAUCUGACAUCCAAUGCUGCCGAUGAUGGUGAUGAUUAUAAUUAUAAUGAUGGAGGCUGCGAUUCAAAAAGAUCAUUCGAUUUCUCCUCUUUCAAAGCCGACAUCCUCUCCACUCGCAACUUUGAAUACGAUUGGUGCGGAGAAUCUUUUGAGACUGCUCACGCAGCCGUGCUUGGUUGCUUUGCCCUGUAAGUUUCGUCGGUAAGGUUAACUUUCCAAUUCUAUCCCAUUUUCUGUAUUUGCUUUCUCCUGCGUGCGGCCUUAACUUGUAACUGUACUACGUAGGAAAGCAUUAGUCAAUGUAUUUCCUGUGCACACACUAUCACUUGAGGAACAAGUUCGACUGCAUUGUUUGCGAUUUAAGUCAAUCUAGACCCUGCAUUGCAACUCGCAUUGGGUCUUACUGGAACUACUUACAGCGAGCAUGCAAAACCCCCUGCGUGUUGAUUGAGGUUCUGAGGGGGAACACUCCAUCAAGCACGUUGAAGAUAUGGUCUGUAGCAGCAUUGCUUGGAAAUUGGAAAUUGGAGAUCUGCCUAGCUAGCUACUAUUUCUGUGUCUAGCUCCUCAUGUAGUUUUCUGUUAGGUAAUUUUUUUUUUUUUUUAAAUGGAAGAACAGGCAUUUUAUUAAAUAAAAAAAAAUAUUUAGUCAUAUUUUUAGGCUUAUUAUAUUUAUACCCUACAUAUUGUUGAAUAAACCUUAUAUACUUAAUACACCUCAUAUUUACUUUUUCAAUUAAAAUUUAUCUUAAUACACCCCAUUUACUUUCCCAUAUUACCCUCCCACCCCCAUUCUCAACAUACACCUUACAUUUUCUAUAUACACCCCAAAUUUUUUAUAACUCAGUCACAAUCAAGAUUGGAGGAAGAUAAGGCUGCUGAGACUUUGUUGAAGGUGGCAGACGAGGUUAUACGCUGAGGUUUAAUGACAAAAAUUCGAGGGUAAAAGCAGCAAGGGAAAGGAGAACAAUUAGAGGGUCUCUUGUAAUGUGAAUGGCACUAGGACUUUGCCCAGAUUGGCAAAAACGUAGCUGAAUGUUGAUGUAGUUUUAUUGCAUUUUCAGAUGUAUGAAAAAAAAAAACAUAUUUAUUUAUUGGUGUUGAAUUGCAGAACAAAGAUUGUGUUUAGCCAUUUUAUUACUAUUAUCAUUUCUUUAAAUUGGGGUUAUGCCGUGAGAUGAUAUACAUAAGGAAAUAUUGUUAAUUUCUUCGCACUCCAUUCAAGUUCUAACCUUGUAGUUUCAUCAUUUUGCUUGCCUUUGCUGGGAAGACAAAAAAAAUAGAUAAAUAAUACGUUAAAAGUGAUUUGAGGUUUAUUCAGAAUUUUUUUAUAUUUUUAAAAAACUAAUAAGGUCAAAAUUGACAUUGUAUAGAGUGUAUAAGUUAUUUAAUAUCGAAUUUGAAUGUGAGGUGUAUUUAUCAGUACGGAUGUGUACAUCUUUUAUUGGCACGGAAGUACUUAUCGAUUAUGCAUUGAAUUUUUUAGUAAUUUAAUUCAAAAUGUGAAGUAGCUUUUGUAAAGUUACCGAAAGCGCCGUGACGGAGAUGAAGAUGGAAAUGGUGUAAAACUUUUGACGAGUUGAACCGAAAGCGCCGUGACGGAGAUGGAGGUGGAGAUGGAGAUGAGGGCCGGGGAAGAAAUAGAGAUAGGACAAGACAUAACGCCACCGCUCCCUCCGCUUUCUUCCUCUCUCCACCACUCCCUCCUCUCAUCUCACUGCUCUUCCUGCUUCUCCCCUCUCCCUCCCCAACCCUUCCCUCCCCUCUUUACUCCUACCUUUCCCAACACUCCCUCCUCCUACUACUGCUCCUCCCUCUGCUCCUCCGCCGAUUCUCCCCUCCACGUCUCCAGCGCCGAGCCCUACCUUCUCCUGCUUCUCCAAUCCCACCCCUCCGCCUACCCCAACGGCGACUCCUCCGACCUCCGCGCCGCCCUCCGCCUCCUCCAAUCCCUUCCCGCCACCUCCCCCUACCCUCGCGUAGCCGGCCUCCUGACGAAUCGCCACAAACUCCUCCACCACCACGACCAUAGGGUUCGCGACGGCGCCAGAGCCAUGUUCCUCGCCAGGAAGAUGCGGGAUGAAUCUCCGAAUUUCUCUAUCGAUGCGACUAUUGCCAACGUUGCUCCGCACGACGCCGUAUUGGAGGAGGCCGUGCUGUCAUUGGUGCUAACGAACGCCGUGGAGGUGCAGGAUAAGACCGGGCGCACCCUUGGAAUUUCCGUCUACGGUCCCAGCUUCUGCUGGAUCAACCACAGCUGCUCCCCGAAUGCUUGCUACCGCUUUUCUUUGAUGACACCGCCAACGCCACCUUGUUGGCCCGAAACGGCGCUGCUGCGCAUUGUCCCCUUCGGCCGCUCCUCCGGUCGUGCCACACAAGUAAUCCCUGCAAAUUUGCACCGUUUGUUUAAUUUAUAGUGGAAUAAGAUUGAAAUUCAGGGUUGUGAGAUGGAUAUUUGUUGCAGAUUGAGAAUGGUGUUUGUAGCAAUAAUGUGUUAGCAAAAGGUGUUGUGGUUUUUUUAAGUUUUCGUGCUUCUUUUCGGUUUUUGUUUGUUUGAAUUAGUACACCAAAUUUACCAGUAUUAUUGAACCAUUCGUGUAUAUUACGAAUGUAGAAAGCCGAGGUUAUGGUCCAAGAGUGACGGUUAGGAGCAUCAAGAGAAUCAAGAAAGGCGAAGAAGUGACUGUUACUUACACUGAUUUGUUGCAGCCUAAGGUAUCUGCAUUUUAUCUAUAUACACAUUAUACAUGGAUCAGCGAUUGGAAUUUUGAAUUCAUAUAAUCCACAUCUGUUUUGUCAAGUUAACUGAGCGAUGUUUCGAUGACUGUGAGAUGAGAAUUUGCUAGUGUCAUUUUCUGCUUAUUGUCCCUGUCUUAGGAAACUAAACUUGAUGAGACAAUGCAAGGCAAUCCGACUUCUUUCCACUUUAGGGAUUAGCUAAAUCUUGCCCCAUUUGACUUUUCUUUUACUUAUUUCCAAUUUUAAUUGUGUUGAUGUUAUAUUUUAAUCCCUUUCUUUUAACGUCACAUUUUCUUUUCUUCUCAUGAGCUCCUCCAGGCAAUGAGGCAGUCAGAGCUAUGGUCAAGGUAUCGGUUUAUCUGCUCUUGUACGCGAUGUAGUGCAUCACCCCUAACCUACGUGGAUCAAGCUUUGGAGGUGGCAAUUCAUGAAAACUUUUUCUUUCUUUCUUGAUAUUCUCAAUUAAAUACUAAUUCUUAAGUCUAUUUGGAGUUCUUCCGUAAUAUCUUUAUACUAUUGAUUUUACAGAAAUUAUAAAUGCACUAGGAUAUUUGUACUUCUAGAUUCUUGUUUUUGUAUCCCCCCCUGUAUAUAGUUUGGCCUUCACUUUGAACAAAAGCUCUUUUUCAACUUGAACAUGAAUUACCUCCUAACCAUUUUUCUUCCUCUCUGGCAGUCAACUUUAUUUCCUAGGAUGUAGCUAAUGUUCUUAUUGGUGUUUUUUGAAUAAUCAUUAACCUUCGGUUUCAAAACUCCAGGAAAUAUUUGCAGUCAAUUCCAACUCCUCCAGUUUGAGUUUAGAAAUAAACUUCAAUAGAGAUAAGGCAACGCAAUUGUUGAGUGUUUACUUUGAUGAUGCUAUUGACGACUACCUGUCGAGUGGCGAUCCUGAAUCUUCUUGUGAGAGGCUUGAGCAUGCGUUCACACAAGGACUCUCUGAUAUGCAAUUAGAUUGCAACGGAGAAACAUCUCAGCUGAGAUACUGGUUGCACCCAUUAAAUUACCUCUCCCUAAAUGCCUACACAACAUUGGCUUCAGCGUAUAAAAUCCGUGCAACUGACAUGAUAGCUUUAUGUUCUAAAAUGGAUGAUCAUCUGUUAAAAGCUUUGAACUUAAGCAGGACUAGUGCAGCAUACUCCUUACUACUUGCUGGUGCAACUCACCAUCUGUUCCGCUCUGAAUCGUCUCUAAUUGUAUCUGUUGCAAAUUUCUGGACAAGCGCAGGGGAGUCAUUGUUAACUCUUGCUAAAAGCUCAGUCUGGAGUGAGUUUGUCCACCGGGAUCUGCCUGUGUCAAAUCCAUGUUCCACUGCAAGUUAUAGAUGUCCAAAAUGCUCAUUGAUAGACAAAUUUGAAGCUUGUUUAUUCUAUGGUCAAGUUCAACAUGCAGAUUUUGACGAUGUCUCAAGUGAAUUCAUUGAUUGCGUCUCUAACUUUACACAGAAUGUUUGGAAUAUUUUGGCUCUCAGUUGCCAGUACCUUAGAUUGAUUAAGAGUCCUAUUGAUUUCAGUUGGCUUGGUACCACAAAAGAUUCCAGUGUAGGGGAAGUUCUGAUUCGGUCUAGUGGCACUAAAGCGGGUUCUUGUGGGACUGAGAGAAGCAUUUCUGGAAGUGAAGCAGAGGGAUACACAGCCCAGGUACGGAUAUGUAUUUUUAAGCUCGGUGUCCAUUGCUUACUAUAUGGAGGAUAUCUAGCGAGCAUAUGUUAUGGUAAUUCCCAUUUGACCUGUUAUGUUCGUAAUAUUUUAGAUAUGGAAGGGAUAUUAUUGAAUCCUUGUCAUGAACCAAAUUGAGUUUGAGAUCUUAGAAGUUAAAUUAUUCCUGUUUUGGUGUUAAUUGCUGUGUUAUUAUACUCGUUAAGAAUCUGUUAAAAAUGUUGGUUGCAUAUAUCGUCUUCUCUGCUUGUGAUUUUUCGCCUCGAACUCUAUUCGUCUUGCAUGAUGCCCCAAGGAAUCAGCCACACGUAUCAGAAGUUUGUGUCAACGGAUUCAAUUUGAUAGACUACAGUGGGUUUCAAAAUAGAAUAAUCCGCUAUAGCUGUUUCAUAUAUCAUUUCGGUUCAGUCAAAUUAAAGAACCAAAAUUGAAAUCACAAUUGGAUUCGAUUUGGAAACAUCUGAAAUACAAAAUUGAAACCACAAUCGAAUUAAAGAACAAAAAUUGUCAUCUCCUGAUGCAUCCCUGUUUCUAUUUGUGUUCGUGUUUGUGUCAAAAAUACAUCGUAAGAAUGUUAUAACAGUUGCAUACUUAAAGCGACGCCCUACUGAAUGUUACAAUAGAUGCAUACAAGACCGUCGCUAAUGUCAAUGUUUCUUCUUUUUGUUGGACUUUGAGUUGGAGCCAUGCUCAUUUUUAUGUCGCUUUUCCCCACUCUUGUGACUCUCUCUCUGUUUUCCUUUAUCCAUUUUGUUUCUACUUGAUUUCACGCUAACGAGACCACCAGCAGGUAGGUUUGCACCGCCAUUCUGUAAUGCAUUCUCAAAGUCUGCAUCUCUGUCCCCAAUCGCGUACUGUUGAAGCAACUUGGGAUCUAAUGACCCCUCCGAGUUGGAUCUCAUCCCAUCCUGUAUGUGCGUAGUCAAGUCAGCCCAACUCUUGGGAUUCAGAACGCGGGAAAGAGAGGCAGUUCAGGUAACACGAAGGUAAGGAAGGAAUAAAGCGUACCUCAACUUUUCUUGCAGCAUCAUUGAGAUCAUCAUCAACAGAGAUCUUGUGAGGUUCCAAGAGAGUCUGAACCAAAAUUUCCGAAUCAGAGUGGAGUUACAACAUAGGCAGAAGAAAAGCACAGUAGCAUACAUACACGCACGCACGCACAAUUAUAAUGUGAUAGACGAUGUUUAAGCUUGCAUUAAGAAACACAAUAAUGUAAACUUAGCGAUUACAUAUCAAACAAAAUAGUUCAGGUACCAAAGUGGCUCACGCGCAACACACAUGUCAAUAUCAUAUAGUUAAGCCAACUAGAAUCAUAAUGCAUCCUACGACAUGAAAUUAUUAGAAAGAGAUGGAAACCACCAACAUAUCAUGUACUUUCCAUAAGAAAAAAAAGGGUUACUGCUUUGCUGAACUUACUUCUUUUGGUUUAGGCAAGGUUGACACAAGGCCCUCAGAUGCAAUAGCGUAUAGAUAUUUGUGAAACUUUUUCAUAACUUUUAUAAACAGAGACAAUAUUUGCUGCCUUUCCAGUUUCAUCAACCCCUGGAAAACGUGAAUGUAAGUAAAAAUCUACACCUGAUAAGAAUGAAAUAAAGAGCAGAAAUGACGCCACCAAGUAGAGUGUUUUGUCUUUGCAAGUGGGUUUGAUUGCGUGCUCGCAUUGCAUCUAUGUGACUGGUAUAGCCAAGCAAACCAUAUGAGUAACAAGUAGAGAAACAAACCUCAAUAUAGGAGAUAUCUUGAUUCUGUAAGCCAAUGCAGAGCAAUAUGGAAGCCUGGGCACCUGUCAAUGUCACUGGAAGUUUCUCUUGGAAAUACAGAUGUGAAAGCGUUGGAACAAGAUCCAAAAUCUGUAAAAUAAAAGCAUAACUUUAACAUGUGUAAAGUUAUAAACAAACGAUAACUAGAGUACAAGAGGACCUCAGUUUAGAAAAUGACACUUAAUUUCAAAUUCAAAUGGACCCCAGGGUUUAAACUGUAAUUUUAAAAACAAUUCGCAGGUAAUUUGAAGAAAGUAAGGUCUGUUGGUUAAGGAUGAAAAUGCAAUAAGCCCUCGGAUCCCUCCUCCCCACUAUCAUCUAUGCCUAACAGGAGGAAGAACAUCUUGACACAUUCAAACUGGCAGCCUUUCCCAAAAAACAGAAGGAAGCAGAUAAUCCACUCAAACCAUAAUCAACAAAAAUGGACGACAUGCCAUUGACCAGGAUGCACUGCACCUUCCUGAGAACCGCACAACAAAUGGGUUCACCUCCCUCAGGGGCAUACCCACAAGGGGGUGGGAUUGGGUGGGAGGGGAAGAGAAGGGGUCUAAUAGCCUAAUCGCUGUUGAUUUCAUCUUUUUAUGUAACACAGAGCACGGGAUGAAACAUCGGCCACAGAAUCCUACACACAAAUUACUUGUAAAGUACACAAAUUCCCCUUCUCAAACAAGCAAUUUUGAACUUUUAAUGUGUAACUGAACAUAUAUAUACAUAUAAUUAGAUCAAUAACUAAACACAAUGUCCUAAUAGUUCACUUUUGAAAAAGAUUAUUCAUAAAACAUUGCAAGAGUAAUAUAUGUUCACAAUCAUGGUAUCAGAUUGUCCACAGUAAGAAAACAAAUAUUUCACCACUGUCAACUAAAAAUUGUAUCACAAUCACAAUCAUAUUGCCACACUGAGACGAUAAUUCUAUCACAAAGGAAUACAAUUUUUCUUUUGUAAUGCAAUAUUACUUUCUUUUUCUAAAGGAAAGCAUAUUUUGUCUUGUAACGCAAAUAUCUUUUUUGAUUCUAAGGGAAGUAUUUCUUGUUCUGUAAUGCAAACAUUACUUCUAUUUUUAAUAUGAAUGUAUGGAAUCAAUUAGUAAUCCUAAGAUAAAAAAAUCCCAAAACACUACAUAGCACUAUGACAGGGCAAGUUGGCAAUCAACCAUUGUUCAGAGAACUUACCAUAUGAAAGUCAGCAAGACUGCUGGUGUAGGCCUCCAGUCGCUUCAUAUCAUAAGGCGAAAGUAAGUCUGUGAUAGACCGUAAGAAUCCAUCUGUGGUAGACGAUUUGGGUUCUCCAUCCUUGUAAUUGAUCUUAGGAUCUAAGAUGCUGGAAAAUUAUUAGUUAGUACGAGCACUUGAACAAUAAGCAUUUAUCAGAAUGGAACUUUUAAUAGUACCUCAUAGCGAGCCUAUAAUCCAUUGUACGAAAACUAUAACCCAAUAGUCUCAAAAAUCUUCUCCUGAAAUCUAGGUAGCCAACAAAUAAUCAAGCUGUGAACUGAAAUACAAAAAAUCUGCACAAAUUUAAAUAGAACAAAGGUUUUCCAAAGAAAAAUGGGCCCACCUAGGUUGAAUGGACGAAAAUCACUGGUUUCAAGUUCAUCAUUCUUCAAAGAUUUGAGGACCAUACACGUAUGCUCCCCGGUCACACCACUCUAUUACAUUGAAAAGAAAAAUGAAAAAUUAUUGUUUAAUCAGUCAUUCAUUCACAAAUGAUAAUAUUCAAAAAAACAGUAAACGGAAAAAAGGAUUCAGUAUGGAGAGGGGAAUCCAUCUUAACUGGAAUAUGUCCAAUAUAGAAUGGAGCAAACUUAUGUUUCCACCAAAACCUGAAAAGGUCCAAGGUAAGCCCAAAGGAGACACCAAUAUAAUGGAGCUUCUCUGGUCGCCUUUCACGAAGAUGAACAAGCAAAUGAGGAAGAUCUGUUCUAGGUUUUAUACUUUCUUCCAGCAAUGAAACCUAUAAAUAAAAUAGACAUAGGUAUCAUUCCGAUAAACAAUAUCAAGGCACAGGCGGCAGGUUGAUUAAUACCAAACAAACAAACCAAUACAUGAUAAUAUACUUUGAUGUCAUUAUGAUUAAAAUUAACACAACAAAUGAUCAUUCACAAAAGUUUGUCAAAUUAUAUUCAAACACAGAAAUUGUUCUACAAUCACCGGAAUGAAGCUUAACCAACUCAAACACUUCGACAGAACAAGAAUUGCAUUACCAGAAACCUAUGAGUUACAAAAUUGCCUCCAAUUGCAAUAAUAAUACAUAGAAUAGUCUCGUAUAAGCAGUUCUCCAACCUAUUAAUUAAAAAUAUUUAUAAAAAAAAAAAAACUAAGCUUGGUGAUUGUAGUUCACCUUCUCAGCAGCUUCUGUGACUCUGAGUGGGGGAGUCUCAACAUCUUCAACGUCCAGUUCAGAAAUAGGAGCAAACUGUCCUUCGUAGUACCUGAGGAGAAAUAAACCCUUAACACCCAUUUUUUCAAAUAUAAAAACAUAAAUGUGAAGCAUCAACUUUUAGAACCAAAGAGAUUCAGUGCAAUUUUCAUGUCAAAACACUUUUAUCUCAAUAAUGAAGUACUUAUGAGUUACAUUGAUACAAGAGCAAUGCAUCCCACAUAUCACACACAUUCCUUAUAUCUGGAUCCCCAACAAUAGCAAUCCAAUGUCACCCACAUAGCACAUGAUACAUACCAGAGGUGUCCCUAGAAUGUCCACAUCAGCCAUUCCUUAUAUCUGUGUCCCCAAAAACAUUUGCAGUAAAAAGUACAUGGACUUAUGAGCACAAAGGGAUAACGGACAUGUAUGGGUUGACUUGAGAGAUAAACCAAGUAAAGUAAGUUCAAGAAAAAAUCUAGGACCAAAUAGGAUACAAGGUCAGAAUCAGUGUGACCCAUCUAAAAAGUUAGGACCCCACAUUAAUUUGUGCAGUCAACAACGAGGAUCCAUCUUUGGAUUAUUAUCCUAAAACGCUCUAUCUUUGGAUUAUAUCCUAAAGUGCUGCUGGUUAAGCUUGUUUCUGGUUUUUCUCUGUUGGAAAUUUCAAUUACUAACGAAAUAUCCAAUCUUCAUUUAAACAUACAGAUUUAAACUCAACUGUUGGCACUGCAGACUCUUGGCCAUUGUUGGGAUUGAAAUAAGCUAGAGUUUCUCAAGAUAAAUGCGGAUGAGGUGGGUUUUAUUUGAGAUAGCGAAUUCCAUGUGUUUGUGGAUUUAUUGCCAAAGCAAUUUGGGAAGAUCCCUGCUGUUUCCUCCAGAUGGAUGGGGUUAUAAUUUCAUUGUAACUUUUCUGAAGUAAGUUUUAGUUGGACUCCUUUUCUUUGCAAUGGACAACUUCUCCUCCUUUCCUUUAGAAAAUGCUUUGCUUUGCUGAAUUUUUCGUAACUCUUAGAAAUGUAACCCAAACUAAGAUGAAAACCCCCAACAUGACCGUAUUUUAAUAUGCUAUCACUUCUAAUCCUCUAUAUCUUUCCACUUGUUUCUCCAACUACCAUCAUAUGACUCGAGAGUUGUAUUGUGAGAAAGUCAUCUGUAUAUCAAAACUGAAAUCAAAUGAUCAUCUCUUCAGCACCCACAUGGUCUAUGUUCUAUAGCUUUCAACCCAAGUGAACUGAAAGCAUGAGACUCACAUUUUGAGUUGCGACUUUAUGUGCCUGAGCCAGGGUGCAUAUGCAUGAUUGCUUUUCAUUCAUUUUAGAAAUCAUUUGAAGCAUUGCUUCAGACAUAUAAUCUUCAAUCUUUUCACCUUUUUUUUUAUGACAAACAGUAGCGUUAGUGGGUUAAAAGUUUAUUUGUUAGGGGGAGGGGAAUCGAUGGGCAUCAAACCCGCACCAGGGUGCAUAUGCAUGAUUGCUUUUCAUUCAAAGUGUAGCAAUAUGGGGCUAAAAGAAUCACUCAGUCAAUCUUUCUCAACACCUUAGGCAUCCACAUACACAUUGGGAUCAUGUAUGUGAUCUACAAAAACGUUUAGGUGGGGAAUAACUCAAAGAGGAGCAUACCUUGUCAAUAGUUCCACUGCUUGUGAUCCAUAUCCAAUCUACAACAACGAAAAAUAAAUUACCAUUUCAACAGAUCCCUGGUUAUAGAUUACCAUUUCAACAAAAUCCUGGUUAUACAUAUUGCUUUGGAAACCAUAAUGAGAGAAUACCUUCAUGGCACUUGGAUGUGUAGCAAUUCGUACAAUCCGAGCACCUGAAAGACUGGGAAAAACUGUGUCCUGAAAUUGCUCACAGAAUUUCCAUGGUAUCUGGUCACCAGAAGGCUGAUGACCAUCACUUAAACUUUUCAUUGCAGAUUCACGAGAGAUCUUUCCCUCAAGGCAGACCUAAGAACAAAAUGAUAGCACAUAAAAUGUUGAGCAUCAAAGAAUUAGUGUUUUAUAGAAGAUGAAGUACGUGUUUAAAGUGUUGUCCUUUAUUGCUAUUUCACAUAAGGUAAAAUUAUAAAUAAAAAAACUAAUAAAAUUUUGGGUAUGCGUUAAAUAACUAAAAGAAAUAAUAGUCCUGAACUAGGGGAAGACAGUCAAACCUGAAUGACACACAAAAUAUCAGGAAGCUGAUUUUUUGACUCAUCAACAGGGCCUGCACGUGCAAAUUAUAAUCAAGUCCAGCCAAAUAGCGGCAAAAAAAGAAAGACCAGUUCUAACGUAACAUAUAUACCAAGUAGCACAAACAGGUGGUGAGCCGGGGCAUCAGCCAUUAGUUGCAAAUCAUUUGGAGAAUUUUUGUAGUGGGAGGCAACAUAUAGAGCCAUCAUCCGCUGCAAGUAUUAGAAUAUGUAAGUUCACUAAUAUGAAAAUGAGAAUCACUAGUCUGACAUUACUUGAACAUGUAAUUACCUGUAAGAACAACUCGCUAUCUUUAUGAUAUGAAAAAAGCGUAUCACAGUUUACGUAGUACAGAUCGCACUCACUGGGUGCAGGUAACCUAGCCGCCAAGAGAGAGAGAAGAGAGAGAGAGAUCAUUAAUAAAGGUAAGGGUUAUAAUGGAGAUGGUUACAUCUUCCUCGGUUCUGACUGUCUAAGCAAAUGUUUUUACCCGUUAAGUUUAGGGAUAUAAUUUGUGAUAUCCAAGCAAAGUAAACCAUGAAGCCAGGAUUCAAUCGGAUCACCAGAAGCAUAUCUGAUAGAUUCUUUCAAUUCUAUCUUUUUGAAAAGACGACCUACAAUCAGGGACAUUUAUCAAUUCAGAAAAUUAUGUCCAAAUAUCACAAAAUAGUUUUUAAAAAAUUAUACAUUGCUCACUUGCAAGCGCCAACAGUUCAAGUAUUUCAGAAACAAUAAUGUUAAGAGAAAGCAGAAGAAACAUUGAAUUUUGAAAAUAAAUUCAAGUUUUGGGGGGAAAGGGGGAUUUUGAUCCAACCUAAUUCAAGAUGAGAAUACAAAACACGGCCAAUAAGGAAUAAGCAUACCAGAUGUAGGCCCCUUAGCAGACACUUGGCUUUGCUCUUCCAAUUGCUGUAGAAGUUUUAGGGACAAAGACCGACCAGUACCUUCAUAGCUUUCAGUGUAAAAUAAAUGUCCUUUAGUAUUUAAAUUGCACUUAGAUUUUUUUUUUUUUACCAAAAGUUGAAUUCAGAGUUGACUUAUAAAUAGAAAGACAUCAAGCAUGAGUCAAGGAAAAGUGGAAACAGCCCAUGAAAAGUGAAAGAUCUUUCAUUCCCCCCCGCGGCCGUAACAGAAAGUGAAAAAGUGAAGUGAAAUAUGUUUCAUGAGACUGUUAAAACCAAAAAAGAACACAUGAUAAGAAUACACGACAUGAAGGAAGAAGAACAUGGAUGAAUCUUACCCAUUAACAGUAGAUGAAAGGAAGACCAGAUAAGGACCAAGCAAAGACUUCACUACUGGUAGUGGAAUAGCAGCUGCUUCAUCAACAACCAACAGUUCAACUUGGGAAAGCUUUUCAUGCUCAUGUGGCCGUAUAUACUGCAAGUACAAGUAACAAAAGUAAAAAACAAAUAGCCCCAAAAGCAAUGAGCAGUACAAAGUUCUUUCUUUUAGGCUACAUGAGGUGUAAAGGUCUAGACCACCUCACAAUCUCACAGGCAUGUUGAGUGCCUCUAUACCAUACAUACUGGAUUAGUGCCAGGAAGACACAUUAGGUUGACCAAAAAGUUUGGCGUUUCAGGAACAUGCUUUUAGAAGCAAGCUUCAGUAAUCACAAACCAUCUAAAUUAUGUUCAAUAUGCUCACACCAAUAACAAAAAUGAUGCACUUGGGCAAAAGUACAAUAGAAUUUUUGGAGUAGUCAAACAAAGACAACCACUAAUCAUAUAUGAGGGCAUACGACAUUUGAUGGGCAAAAGGUGAACACACUCAUGGCUAUUGUGAUGCGGCUAUCCAAUAGAAGAAUAUUCUCUAUUACAACUUGGUUAUCAACUUUUCAUGAGUAACAAUUCCUCCAUGUAUUUGUAUUUUGGUAUCAACUGACUAAACAAAAUCUUUAUUGCUAUUUUUUUAUAGAAAACGAGAUUUUAUUAAACAGCUAAAAAACAAUACAACACUUAGUGGACUAGGAAGUCCACCAUCAAAACGAAACAGCCCUGACAUAUGCCUCAACAUUCACCUCCAUCAUUAUAAAACAGAUCUGCAACUAUCUCACUGCAACUCCCCAAUCCAACAAAAUUACAUAAAAUGAAAGAUCCCAAAACCUUGGAGAGAGAGAAGCCAUAAGAAUGCCCAAUUCUUUCCCAAGAAUUCUCUUGUAAAUCCCCACUCUAAUUUUCAAAGGUUGCAAACUUGAAAUUAACAUAGAAGGUAACUGGCUUCAGAGUCAACUAGGAUAAUACUGGGCAUAUAUGCAGAGAGUAGGCAUAGUAGCAACUUUCAGGGUAUGGAAUAAUACAAAAGGAAAGGGAAGACCACAGAAUUCUCUCAGUCAUCUUAACUUGAUUUGGUACUAAGAAUAAGUUAUGUAUACACUUCCCACUGGCCCAUCUGUACGUUAAUAUAGAAAUAGAUUAUAUCCUGGCAACAAGGAAGUGAAAUACUCCUAUUUUUAUAUCAAUAUUGGGCACAAAUUAAGAGUUCAUCAAUAUAAUUUUACCUCAAUUGUAACCAACUGUGCAUAUAAGUUUACCUGAAUUGUUUGUCUGUGCUGCUUGUAUAUAUUGAUCUGUACAGUUGCUUUCUUCAACAAAGGGUCACUACUUUUCUGUACAUCAUAAUCUAUAUGUUCCUGCAAACAUAGUUUACAACUGUAAGCUCAAUAACUAGUGCACUGUUCGAAGUACAUGAUUGAAAAAUGAAGAAAACGGAGUGACCUUAUAACAAUUAAUGAAAGAUAAAAUGUAGUUCACAGAAUAAAACAUUCAAACACCACCAUCUUGAUAGUUAAACAAUUUCACUGUAAAAGCUAUUAAACUUAGCAGGAAAAAAAAUUUAAACUUUAUCUAACAUUUGAAUCUACAAUUUUCAAUUAGCAACUCUUGUCACAAAUGUUUAUUAGUGGGGUACGUUCUAAGAUAUUGUUAUUUGCUAAUUGUCGAGGAUUAUUUGGGAGUUAAAUCUCACAAGAAGGCGUAAAGAUCACAUUAGAAUUAGAUAUUUUACUAGGAAGCUAAAGAUCACAUUAGAACCACCCGCAGGAAUACAAAAAAACGACAUACCUUAUAGUCCAGUUGAUCAAAACCCUUGCAAACAAAUUCGAACAAGGUUCUUAAGUUCUCAGGGCUGGGUGCAGUUACAAAUAUAUUUGAAUACCUGUGAAGAUAUAUUUGUAUCGUCAAAACAUAGUACAUGAAUAUGAGUGUAGACAGCUACACAUACACCAAAACAGUUUUAAUACAUUGUAAAAGGCAUACUACCCUGCAGCAAUAGCUCCGGAAAUUGCCAAACCAAGUGCAGCCGAUUUUCCACGGCCUCGAGCAGCAAGCAAGGCAACAGUACUUCGGAGUGUCUUGUCCAAGAUUGCAUCAAGAAAUGUAGCAACAGCAUUUCCCUGUUGAAACAUUUACCAACUCAAACUAUGAGUCAUAUUAGUAAAUCACACAUGAUAGAAAAACUCAAAACUAAUACAAAUCAGAGAGAGUGCCUACCUGGUCCAACGUACAACAUUUCUUUAUUAAAGGGCCAACAGGAAAGGCAUCACUCAGCUGCUCUUUUAGAUCCUUCAGUUCCCUUUGUGACUCUGAUAUCCCUUCAGAGUCCUUCAAUCAUGAUCAGAAAACAAGAAAAAAGUUAUCAAAGUUAUCAAAGCUUCACAAACUCCUAGAAAGUAUCCUAAUAACCAUUCGGUAUACACACACUUGAAAAAUUACUUUUAUUCUUUUUGUCAUCUCGCAUAAGAUGCCACGAAAAUAAAGCAUUCCUCGAUUUAUCAGUUCCGUCCUAUAGAAAAGUUACAAGGCUAAAAGGUUACCUCUUUCACUGGAACUGGGGUAAUUGACCUCAUAUGAGAUGAAAUUGGUAAAAUAUUCAGCUCAUCAUCCAUUACUACACAUGAUUUGCAUGACGCAAGUGACAAUAAGAAACGCUCGUUAAAACGUCCAGUAGCCUUAGAAUGGGAUUCAGUUCGAAACCUAUCAUGAACAUCCUGAAAUCAAGAGGCGCUGAUAAGACUGUAUGGAGAUUUUUGCAUUUGAGAGAACGAGAAAGACAGUGUUGCAAAUAAAACAUGACAUAACGGAAUUGUUAUCAAAUAUAAUAUGUGGUGCAUGGCUAUUGCUAUAUUCGUUCUAAGUCCAUAAUGUAGUAAAACUAGAAACUACCUCAACAAGAAGAACAAAUAUUAUGAGGAAACCUAGUUGUUUUUUCUUCUUCUUUUUGGGGCUAGAACAUGAAAAGAAACAACUAGUCUACAUAGGCCCAACUGGGAAACUUAUAUGUUCAGCAGCAUUCUCUUAAAGAAAGUCAAGCAAUUGAAUCUACCAAAAGUCUUCUUGUAGCCAAGCACAUCAUUACGAAAAAAUUCGGAAACUUUUAACAUGGCUAGUUUUCAAGAUUUUGCGGUAUAUAAUAAGCAUAACCAUGCUGGCCUAAAAACUAAGCAUUAAUUGUGUGCAUGCGUAAGAGAAAGAGGUAUUAUUAUAUGCAUACCAUAACCAUGGUGUAGAGGUUGGUGAGUGAGGUUAGAGAAUGAAGCAACAAUAUGACUAGUCCACCUCCCUCCACUGUCUCUAUCGUUCUUGCUAGUAGAUUUGGAGUCAAGGCCUCAAAAUCCUAAUGCAGGAGAUCAAACUUAGUCAUAAAACUUAAAUCAAUUAUACAAGGGGUCUUGGCCAAACCAGUAAAUUUGUAAGUUUCAAGUUACCUGAAGUAUACACAUUCCAAAGGUAUUACCAAGAACUCUUUCUGAAUCCUUGUACAAGCAAUAAGUCAAUCCCCCACUUUCAACAAAAAGUGAGAAAGGAUCAACCUUCUCGGGAUCAAGCAGCCCCCUCUGCAUCAUCUUUUUUACUUGCUUAGCACGUUUUUUCUUGUGACUGCAUCAUGAAGUAGUCAAACGCAACGAAUCAAUAUAUUUUAAAAACGAAAUUCCGCCUUGCCUUAUAAUAAGGUGAAGAAUGGAAGGUAGAAGAAAUCAACCUGCUGAGCUCGAGCUUGUCCUUGUAGCACCACAACACAGUCGGGCGCGAUUUCUUUACUUCAUUGCUUAGCAUAUAAUGAAGAUUCACAAUCUGAAGACCAUAUAAAACUCCAUAUUAGCCAUUUUCCGUUAGUUUUCGAUAGAUUUUCGAUGAUAUUUCUUACCUUGUUUGAGGUUUUUAGUGUUACUCGGUGAGUAUUGCAGGUGAAAACAAGAAACAGUAAAACUGGUAAAAUUUUCUACCCAAUUCAAUUUAAAUCAUUGUUAUAACUCCUCAAAUUGAAUAGGAAUAGCAAAUAGGGAAUGGGAUAGGAAAGGCAGAAGAAAUUAGGAGUACCUGGUCACGGGAUUUGUCGCCGACGAUGACGAACAUGGAGCGGUGCCGGUUUUUGACGCCAUUGCUUAUUAGGGUUCGGAUUCGUUCGUCCACCUUCUUCCUCAUUCUCUCUCUCUCUUCUCUCUCUGUGCAAUUAGGUUUAGGGUUUAUACCAUAGGGCAGUUGUCGUCGUCGGGCAGGGUUUAAGCCGAACUAGUGAGAGAGAGACUAGACAUCGCGGAGAGAUAUUGAGUUCAUCUCAACCGUUGAUUGGCUAUCUGAUGGCUGUUAUCAAAGCUGACAUAAAAAUGAAAACUCAACACGUGGCCAAGUAUUUUUUUUCUCUCUUUUUUGGCUUAUUUAUUGAUUUGCCCCAGAAAUUAUUUUUUUUGUCUUACUCUAGGUCAUGAAACAGAAUUUAUCUUACUUUAUCUUCUAAAACUACCAAAAUCGAGUCAUUUCACCCAUGUUUUGUCAAUUCUAUCUCAUAAACGUUAAAUAAAAGGGAGUCUAAACAUUUCAUACCAUGCUAGCAAAGAUGAGCCACUGUUGUUGGUGAGGUACGAAAUUUUCAAACUUUCCUAAACCUUUAAAACUUAAAAGGUAUCUUGAAUAUGAACGUAAAUGAGGUAAAGUUGCUCAAUUUUGGCAAUUUAUGAAGGGUAAAAUGAGACAAAUUCAAUUUAAGGCUAAAGUGAGAGUAAAUGGCAGUUUCAUGAGAUAUAUCAAUAAAUAAAUCUUUUCUAGAAUACAACUAAAUUAUGUACUCACGGUAAAAGAUAAAUUAAUAUCGAACUUGUCAUUGACGAUAUCUAAACAUAAAACCUUUCAAGUUUUUACCUAUAAGAAUAAAUUUGGUAUAGUAAUUUCUUUUCUAAUUUAAAGUUUCCCAUAGAGUUAUGACGAAUUUGAUACCAAAUUAGGCUGUCAUUGUGUGGCAUAGCCGAAUUCCUCCUCCCUUACUUUAAAAAUAACGAUGUACUCAAAAAAAGUUUCCCAUAGAGUUAAAAUGAUCUUUAGUUGCUUGCUGAGACAACCCAUAUGUAUAAUAAGACAUUGAAAAAGGUGCCUCUGUCAUUUACACUCACACGAUCGAAUAAGUAGCUCCGACAGUUGCAUCAUAAAAUUAAGGGGUUUUCCGAGAUUGUAGUAAGGUUGACGAUUAAAGUUUGGGAAAUUUUCAGGUUAAGGAAUCAAGGGAUCACAUUUUCAAGUUUCGUAGGCAUUCUCUUUCCUUUGGAAUGGUGUUGGAAUCCGUCCUGAAGUUGCCCAUUCCUUUGCUCUUGAUUUUCAGAGUUGGAUAGCUAUAAACCUUAGGACACAUUGUACCACCAUACAUGGUUUACCUUGGAACCUUAUCUUUAAUUCAACUCUCUGGCAUUGCUGGAAAUGGAGGAAUAACUUUGUCUUCAAUGAUGGCCAACAACCGCUUGACUCACCCCAGAAUUUCAUUUUUCAAUUUGCAAGGGAAUGGUGUGAUGCGAACAAGUGUUCUUCUAGUAAGCCUCCUAGACAAAAUCAUCUCAAUCCAUUGGAUUCGUUUGCCAAUUGGUAUACAAAAUCAAUACAGAUGGGAGUUGUAAAGACCCAUUUAGCCACAUAAGUGCUGGAGGUUUGCUUCGUAAUUCUGAAGGGAAAUGGAUUAAGGGAUUUGCUGCUAAUUUGGGCAGAGGAACCAUCAUGGAAGGUGAGCUUUAAGGGUGGUUUCAUGGGACUUUCUAUAGGUUGGGAUGAGAGUUGCAAGGAAGUGAUUAUUGAAUGUGAUUCUUAUGCUGCUGUUACUUUGAUCCAACAACCUAUUUUAGUUCCCACUCUACAAUCUCAUUAUUGACUGCAAAGAAGCCAUUGAAAGAAAUUGAAGAUGUGAAGUUACUCAUAUCUAUAGAGAAAAUAAUGUCUUAGCUAAUCACACGUCUGACUUAGGUCAUGGGUUAUCACUUGGUCUUCAUGUUUUUGCUUCUCCUUCUACCAUUGCUACUAAUUUUAUAGUUUCUAAUACUAUUGGCAGGGCCCUCCCUAGAGCUGUUUUUUAGUAGCUUUUUUGUUUUGCUUGUUGGGCUUUGCCCUCUUCUGUACCCAAAAAAAAAAAAAAAAAAAAAAAUAUUGGGAAAUUUAUUUGGACCCAACUUUUUUAUCUCUACACCCAAAUAAUAUUUUCUCUUAUCUAAUCUUCCAAAUUUGUCCUUAAAUAACAAACAUUGAAGUUUUCUUUGUAUCUCUACACCCAAACCCCACGAUCCACCACUGUAGGGCGCUCCAUUAUUUCCGACAAACCCAACUCAAACGCCAGCAACACUAAAAUCGACAAAUCAAGACUGGAGAACAAAUGGUGUAGGAGUCCUAAUGUGAAUAUUAAAGCAAACUUAAGUUGCAAAACCCUUUUUUAUUUCAAUCGAUGAAAGGACCUUGGGUUAUGAACAUAAGGAACCUAUUAGGGUUUAGAGGUCCCCUCCACAUCAUAUGCAUAAGCCCUUUUUCUUCAUUCAUUAAUUUACGGAAGGGAAAAUUAAUACUAUUAUUCUCAUAAAAAGUGGGAAUACCAAGGAAAGAGAUCCUCUCCACACCAUAUAUUUUUCUUUUCUGAGUAGUUAUAUCCAAUGGAGAGAGGAAAACAAGAGCACCAAUGGUCGCAGGUUCACCGGAGAAAAUGAAGGUGCAGUGGUGAUGUGAGUUUAGGGUUAUUGGGUGUAAAGAUAACAACUUUAAUAUUUAUUUUCUCAUUUUUAUUUAUUUAAGGGCAAAUUUGAAAGUUUAGUAGAGAAAAUUUGUUAGUUGGGUGUAGAGAUAAAAAGGUUGGGUCCAACAAAAUUUCUCAUAAAGUUUAAUCACGCGAUUAAGUUCUUGUGCAAUGAGUAAAUUGUAGCAAUGACCCAUCAACUAAAAAUCCAUUAUUAUUGAUCCCUCAACUCAUCAAAAUAUGUAGUUAUGGUCAUUUUCGUCAACUUUGUAAGAAUUUUGUCAAAAUAAAUUAUGUUGGAAGGACCAUUGUUACAAUUAAGGUCCUUCAACUCAUCAAAACAUGUAGCUAUGGUCAUUUUCGUCAACUUUGUCAAAAUGAGUUAUGUUGGCAUGACCAUUAUUGCAAUUGGGUUAAAGUUGAGGAAUCAUUGCUCCAAUUGGGUUAAAGUUGAGGGAUCAUUUCUCUAGUUAGAUUAAAGUUGGGGGACCAAUGAUAAUUAAGUUUUAGUUAAGGGAUCAUAGUUGCACGUUUUGAUGAGUUGAGAGAUCAAUGAUAAUGAAUUUUUAGUUAAUGGAUCAUUACUCCAAUUGAGUUAAAAAUAAAGGACCAUUGCUACAAUUUACUCUUGUGCAAUAGAAGAUUAAUUUGGCCGAACAACCUGAUUAAGGUGCCUACUUUCUCUUUAAUUCAUUGGUAUCAUUUAUUUUCCCUUAAGCUGAAUUAUGCUCAAUUUAUGUAUCAAUAUUGUAAAGUUGUCUUUGUUAGAGUAAUUUGGACAAUAUAAAUUGAAAAUUAUUUGUGUAUAUGGAAAAGAUUAACCUCAGGGGUCACUUCGCCGGACUCCGUAGCAAUCUCCACCACUCCAAUCGUAAUGGUGAGUAAAUCACUUGUGUUUGUUUCCAUUUUUUCAAUUGGAAAUUGGGGGUUUUGAAUUCAUAUUUUGUCAAUUGGUUUUGUGAGCACUGAGAAUACACUACGAGCUUGUGUGUGUGUACAAUAUGUUGGAUUUGAUCUUUAUAAAGAAUGCGAGAAAUUGGGGUUAGGAAAGAGAAGAAAAGGAAACAGAACUCGAACUUCGAUCUUCAUUCUUGUUACUAAAGGAGAAAACCGAAUUUGAACCGGUUCAUACGUAAUCGAACCGAAUUUGUAUAGUUCGGUUCACCCCUUAGUACCGAACCGUACCAUACCAAAAAAAAUUUCUUGAGUUUGGUUUUGAUACAUCCCUCAUACUGUACCAUACCAAAUCGUGGCCAGACCUACUGAAUACAAAACUUAUAUCUGGGUCGUAAGUCGUAAGGCCUCCAAAAAAAAAGUUCAUAUUAUUCAUACCAAUCGGACAAAUCCCGCACCCAAAAACAAUGGCUAGAUAGAAAGUUCAAUUAUAGAUUAGGUAAUCUAUCCUUUUCAACUUAAAUGCACAUUCAUGAUGGUUAUGCAAAUCAUAUUAUGUUAACAAAUGCAACAAUUAAUUAUAUUUAUCCAUUUGGAAUGAUAUAUAUUUUCAAAGAUGGAAUUACAGACCCCGUUGACGUUGAGGCCAUUGCAUGAGAGAAUUUUAGAUGAUUUUCAAUUAAUUUAUAUUAUUGUUGUGAUAACCAUAAUAAUUAUUUUCUAAAUGUAAAACUAUAUUAAUGAAAUUUUCUUUGUCGGUCAAAAGAAGAUGAAAAGAUAUCUUUAUCUUCUAUCACAACAAAAAAAUUAAGGAUAUUAAUGUAAUAGGCUAAUAGCGAUGGGGUGAAGAAAUGGAACUAUCCUAAAUAGGCAGUUGCUGGUUAUAUUGGAUCAGGUGGUCUGAAUGAUUGGAUAAUUAGCAAAUAAAAAGGUUCCAUUUUUCAUGGACCCUCAAGUGGAAAUAUGGGAUAAAAGAUGGCAUAUACCAUUUUAUCCAUUUGUGAUUGUACAUUUUGAUGGUUGUGAUUUCACCCGAUGGCGCGGCAAGUGUGGAUUGGGAUAAGGAUGGUUUUGGUCUAUCAUCAAAGAUGGUUUGAUGUUCACGACUGGAUUUUACAACGCAUCCAAGUGCAUGGGUUCUAUAAAUACAGAGUUGCGCACAAUAAAAAAGUACAAAGGACCUUCAAACCUUUCACACACUCUGAGAAACUCCUGAUUCUCCCAACUUCGUCAACACAUCUUCAAUUUGGAUUAACAUCACUGUUUGUCAGUGAGGAGUCCUUAGUCUUCUCGUCUCAUUAGCCCUCUAGGUGAAGUGAGGUGUUACUGAAUUACUUGAGUAUUCAGCACAUUGAAAGUCGAACCUUAUUUGAACUUCACAGUAGUUAGCAAUCUUAUCUUCAGGUUUUAGAACCCAAUGCCAAGACAUAUUCCUUCCUCGACAGUGAUGGUUUGUACACAAAAGUUGGUUUGUACACAUAAGUCAGUAUUGUGUUUGACACACCAUCCCAUUCAUUCUACUAGCCCACAAACGCGUGGACUCGUCCAAAAUUACCCCACUCUCGGCCCGUUCACUUGCCCACUCGUCCCACGCGGCCCGUGAGUCUUCAGUGCCUGAUAGGGGGGCCUACUGUUAGGGCCGUUGUUGGCCACAACCCAGAGCCCAACGAUUUUUUUUUGCAUCCCACGACUGGCAUUUUUGGACCGUUGGUUGAUCCAACGGUCCAGAUUCAAAUUUUGUUUUUUUAAAUGUUAUUUUAAAAUACAUUGAAUCCAACGGCUGAGAUCGAAUAUAAUCAAAUCUAACGGUAAAAUAAAAAAAGAUAAAAAAAGAUAUAACAGUCCAAAUUUAAAUCCAACAGCUAAAAUAAUUUUAAAAAAAAUUAUUUAACUCAAAAUUCACCCAAAAACUCUAUAAAUACCUUUGUAUUUGUUCAAACAUCCACACAAAACUCAAUUUUCUCCCACAAUUCUUCCAUUUUUUCUUUCUACCAUUUCUUUCCAUUUCCAAAUUGUUCAACACGAUCCUUGAAUUGGCCAUCCCAAGCAGUAAGACAAUUCUUCCACUCCCAAAGCAUACAAUCGAGACUUCCUAUCAUGUCAGGAAAGCCUAUUUUGUCUGCUUUGAGUAGAAUGUGACGACAUGUCCCGAAUUAUUAUAUAUUUUUCUCCCUAAGUGUGUAAAGUGACGGUAAUGCCCUCGUGAUUUAGUGACGUGGAUGUACAUAUGUAGUUUUAAAUUAUUAUUUCUAUUGUCGUAGUUAAAUUGUACUCGACGCCAUGAGUGUGUUGAUGUGACCUAGGGCUAAAACAAAUUCGUAACGAAGAAGUUACGAACAGACGAGUGUGUAAAUGCGUAGAAAUAUAUUUUUAUGGGUUGGCUAUACCUUACCCACCAAUCACCUUAAUUCCUGAUUUCUUUGGCCUAAUUGAAUUAAAAAUAUCUCUCAUUUUUCCUUCUGCCCAAUCACGCACAUACACACCAUCACUCUCUCUCUUCUCUCGGACCUUCUUCUUCUUUCUUCUCAUUCCGUACACCCGAGCCACCCUUACCUCACAAUCAUCAUCAAAACAUUAUGGAUCGAAUUGGAAAUCACUACCAUCGCAGUCACCUCGAUCCCACGAACUCAUUGAUACCCUUAGGUCGAGGAAUAGACGUCGGGAAUUCGAGAACUCGGGAGCUCUGGCGAGGUGUAUUUUUCUACUUUGUGAUCGUGGUCUUUUUCUAUGGUUUAAAGGCUUGAGGUGGGUCCUAAUCAACUUUAUAGGGACCCUAGAUUAGUUUUGGAGCAGUUUGAACGUUGGAAUAGGUGAGAACAUGGAGUUGCAGGUUGGCCGGUUGAUCCAAGCCUUACUCCGACCACUUUCUGUCGGUUUUAGAACCUCAAGUAGGUAAGAUUGUAUUCUUCUAGUUGAGAGUUUCAAAUCCAUAUAAAAUUCAUGGAAUUUGGUUGAAAAAUGAUGAAGAUAUUAAAGUUUUAAGAUUUUUCCAAAAAUCAGCGACACAAACGGCGCCCGACGGCCAGCGAUGGAUUCCGACAAAGCCAUCGGAGAAGGAGGAGAAUAUUAUGUCUAACUUUGACAGAAUAUACUAACAGCGUCAGGUAACUCUAUUAGUUUUUAAACAAAAUAUUCUACUAUUUAAUGAAAUAUUCCCUAACGCCGUUAGGGAUUCCGUGCCUGCACGUGCCGGCUUAUGAGGGCGCGUGAGACGUCAGGAAAUUAAUCUAAAAAUAUUGGGGUGUUCGAGUUGUUGAGUAGGUCAUGUUGGUAUAUUCAAACACCCUAUUUGAGCAACGUAUGAGAAGUUAUUCCUAGGGUUUGUGUAUGUGCCUUAAAAUUAAUGUAAAAUUAGUUAUUUCGCAUAUAGGUGAGACUUACCCGGAGGACAAACGUGGUCAAACGAGACUUGGGGGCUACGAUCCUACUACUUACCAGUGAGCGGGCUUUUUUUUUCUAUAUAUAUGUAAAUAUGCUUAUGAAUCCCAUAAACUACUUUAAAUGAACGUAUGUUUUAAAUGCCAUGUCGUGUGCAUUAUGUGUUAGUAUUGCAUUAGUAUAGCUAUGCAUAGUAUUGGAUGAGACUGCGCAGACUCAGGUAAGUUUCAGGUGAGUACAUCAUGAUGGUAUUGGGUGCGUGUGUGUGGUUAUACGUUGAUGCAUUUUGAGCUUAUUAUCCUGCACAUUGGUGUUAGUGUUCUCGCCCAUGGCCAGGGCAUAGUUUUUCACAUGAUGUUCACCUCCUGGGCCGCACGCUCACUUUGGAUCCAAGUUUGGUGCACAGCCAUAUUGCACAGACCACAAUAGGUGGUUCCGACUCGUAGGUGACCUGCAAUUAUUUGCACAGCCUUCACGUGAUCGUAGCACUUAAGCGUACUUAUCUACACCCAGCCCUGUUGUACAGACCACAAUAGGUGGUUCCGACUUAUGUGCAUGCAUACUUGAUGAGCUAUAGAUUCAAUUGUACAGGUUACAUUAGGUGACUCCGGUUGGCAUACUAUUUUAGGUUGAUUCGUAUCACCUGGCUUACACAUUUUAUGGUUGAACAUCUUGACAUGGCAUACCUCUGUUUUCACUGCUCUAAGCAUUAUCCUUAUGUACCUAGUUGUUAUUAUUUUCUGGAAAAUUAUAUGGGUUUACAGUGAGGGGUUAGUAUGUUCAUAAAGACAACUGUGUUUUCAAAAACUUUGUUUUUGCCUACUCACAUUUUUUGUUUUGCACCCUUUCAGGUUCUAGGUAGUUGGUCAUCCUUGGUGGCUCACGAGGACUUUCACGGCGGUUCUGACAUCUCUGUAAAUAAGUAGGGAUUUUUUUCCCUGUUUGUAUAAUUAGUACUUAGUUGGUUCGAUUGCACUUUCGUUUACCCAUGCUCUGAUAUUUGUAUAACUUGCUUGGUCAUCUUUACUCACUUAUAUUAUCUUAGUUUAGAUAAGUUUGGUUUUAGGUUUUUAUUUAUUCGCAUUUCUUUUAUUAUUACUUCUGUUGCGCAUUUUGGCUACGUUACUCUUACGUGACGGGCAUCAUGUUUCGACUUCGGUUGGGGUGUGUCAUAAAAGCCUCUUCAAGUCUUCAUGAUUUGGCUUGCAGAGAUAUGUGGCUCCAUAUGUGGCCUGAAUUGCCCCACAGAAGCGCUCCAGGUUUUUAAUAGCAGUAGUCUCCGCAAGUCGGCAAUACUCAUCAGUUGAGUUUGCAGAGCACUCAUUAGCUAGCAUCCGAAAUGCAGAUGUGAGCUUCUGAUGAGGUGAUAGACUUUGUCGGCCUACGACAUUUAUCUUCCUUGCAAAGUAGUGGUCAUGAUUGACAACUGUGUUCAAGAUGCUUUCAAAAAUCUCUCUCCUCAUUCGAAACCGUCUCCGAAAAUCAUGAGCAGGAAAUCUCGGACGCUCAAUAAAAUAAUAUUUCAUCAUUCGGUCAUGACACUCUUCUCUAUCACGUUGCACAAAUGAACGCUUCGUGACAUAACCACAAUAGCUAGAUUCGACAUGGUGCUCAUAUUGCAUAAGCGAGUUUGGAAGUUUAGCUUAUGCGUUGAUCAUUUUUGAAUCCUCAAUGUCAAGGCUUGCUUGGUAUUAUGUCAUUUGCAUUGCCCUGCUACACCUUCUUCUAUCAUCCAUUGUUGAUAUAUUGAGGAUUUUUAUGAAACAAAAACACUUUGAAAGUUGAAAGAUUAGUGAAUAUAGGGAAUGAUUGAAGGUUGAAAGAUUGUGUGACCAACUGAUAUUGAACAUGUGUUUAUAUAGAGGAUGAUUGAUGAAAGUUGAAAGUUUGGUGAAAGUUGAACGGUUGGUGAAAGUUGAAGAUUUGUGAAAGUUAAAGACUUGCUUUGUGGAAAGAUUUAGUGAUUUUUUCAAUAUUUAUUGGAAUUUAAAUAUUUUUAUAUUAAAAUGUUCAUAAAAUUAAUUUACCAUAGGCUACAUAAUUUUUUUUAAAAGUUAAUUUAAGAAAAAAAAUUAGCCUAAGUUCAUUCUUUAAUAAUCCCGAACUAAAAUUUUAGGCUAGGGUUGGAGCAGAAAAACUGUUUCUGUGUUAAAAGCUAAAUUUUUUAGAUUAAAAAUUUUAAAUUUUAACCCAAAGGUUGGAGAUGAUUUAAGAAUGGAUAAACUUAACCAAGAAAAGAAGAAAAAAGAUGAAGGGCAAAUAAGUGAGAAGCAACAUGACACGACACACGGACGACCAUAGCAAUAAAGCGUGCGUCCUCACGUCCAUUGAAUAUAUAGAUGGGAGCUACAACAUCGUGUUUCACGUGCAUGUGUAUUAUACAUAAAGGCAUAUACAGUGUUAGCUUAUAUAUUAUAAAGUUUGUAGGCCACUUACCCAAUUUGGCAUAUGUUUUAUCUUUUUACGUGAAUAACCAAUGUGUUAUGAUGAUACAAGUCUCUUAACAUAUCCGGAGUUAGAAAUAUCAUAAGACAGUGUUGCGAUCAUAUUGAAAUUAAUUGACAGUUUGUAUUAUAUAUUUGAUUAUUCUUUAUUAACUUAAGGAGACAGCAUACUUAGACCUAAUUUAGUCACAUUCUCCAACCGAAAAUAAAGCGGUGUAGUAUUCAUACACUUUUUUUUAUUUCUUACACAGUCUUAAUUAAUUUCUAUUGUUUGAUCUUCUUCAAUUCAUUCGAUCUGACGACCGAAAAUUAAGAUGGUGUGUGGACGAGUAAAUUAUAACAAUGGUCCCUCAACUUUAAUCAAAUUGGAGCAAGGGUGCUCAACUAAAAAUCCAUUACCAUUGGUUCCUCAACUCAUCAAAAUGUGUAGCUAUGGUCAUUUUCGUCAACUUCGUUACAAUUUUGUCAAAAUAAGUUAUAUUGGAAUGACUAUUGCUACAAUUGGGGUCCCUCAACUCAUCAAAACGUGUAGCUAUGGUCAUUUUCAUCAAUUUCGUUAGAAUUUUAUCAAAAUGAGUUUUGUUGGAAUGACCAUUGCUACAAUUGAAUUAAAGUUGAGGGACUAUUAUUUCAAUUGAGUUAAAGUUGAAAGAUCAUUUCUUCAGUUGUAUUAAAGUUGAAGGAUCAAUGGUAAUGAAUUUUUAGUUGAGGGGACUAUAGCUGCACGUUUUAAUGAGUUGAGAGAACAAUAAUAAUGAAUUUUUAGUUGAAAAACUAUUACUUCAAUUGAGUUAAAAUUAAGAAACAAUUGCUACAAUUUUUUUAUAUGGAAAGUGGAUGAUGUGAAUAGCACAUCCAAAAAUAAAAGGGAACUUUAACGAAAAGCACCCGGUACUGUUCACUUUAACGAAAAACCACAUUUUUACACUAAAAAGUCAAUCCUGGUACUAUUCACUUUACCCUUUAUUUUGUCCUUAUCAUUAAAACUCAAAGUUUUCAAGCCCUUUUCAUUAGUUUUCCUAAAAUAAAAUGCACCACAAUUUGGUAGGAUCUUCCUGUUGAGAGUAAUAAAUUAAUAAUUGCCGAAAUAUUGGAUAAUUUGUCGGCCACAACGCUAUGAGGGAGUAUCUGGGGAUGAAUAUACUCUUGCCGACAGAUGCCCAAAUUCCAACUGCCAUUCAAAUGAGCCCUCCACCACCACCGGCCAUAAUAAAUUCUCUUUCUUUAGUGAAGAAGAAAAAGAGGUACUUGGCCCUCACCUCAACUUUUUGAGAAAGAACAAGUUUAUCGCUAUCAGAAUGUUUCGGUCAAUUAUAUAAGUUAUGUGUAAAUUUUUCUUUAGAUAACAUUACAUUAUUAUAUUUAAAAUGUUCCGUAACGAUAAAUUUGUUUCAUACAAAUUAUUCUCCAACUUCUUGGAUUUUUCUCCUUUUUCCCGAAAACCAGCUUAUAUUAGUGUUCAUCCUCUGUCAAUAUCACUCGCCCACAACUAUUCAACUAACUUUUAAUAAUUUGACAACGUGUCAUAUUUUUGUGCAAAGCGGGCCCAUUUUUGUGGGUGAUAUAAUAAUGGCGUAUGUGGUUUGUCAAGACAUAUACUCAUUUAUCCAUUAGCAGUUAGGUAAGUCACCUCACUCACCCACAGCCUAACACAUCAACAAAUAUUGCUUACAAAUUCUAGAAAAUUCGACCAAGAAAAAAAACCAAAUGCUCGCAAAUUAAAAUUGUGUAACAUGAUUAGUUUUUUAUCCAUUAGUAUUAAUUUUACGUUGGAAGAAAUUCCAAAUUUAUUCUUGUAAAGAGGGAUAUGAAAAUACUUUGUAUGUCUAUCACCAAAAUCUUCGAAUGUUUGAAUGGUUGAUUUUCAAGUCUCACACAAUUGGAUUUAGUUCAAGUGAGAAAGAAAUACACUCAAACUAUUAGAUAUGAGGAAUGAAAAUACACUACAAAAUCUUGUGAACAUUUCUAAUAUUCUCUUCUAUCUACUUUUUGUGAACCAAGUUUUUAUUUGUUUUUUUUUUUAACAAAAGAUAUUUUUUAUACUAGGGAAAUAAGGUGGGUUUAGCCUCAUAAUGGGCUAACAUAAUCUAGUUCAAACUUGCAUUUGGUGAGAAUCGAACCUAAAAUCUCUCACUUACAAGUGAAGAGGAAUACCAUUAGAAGUGUCAUGAAAUUAGCAGUCUUAUAUGUAAAAAAUUGAUUGACUAAAUGCUGUGUUAAAAAACAAGAUUAAUACUUGCAUCUCCCCACUUGGAAAAUGCAAAUAUUUCAUUUCUUGCAAAUAACGUAUAUCAUGCGUUCUGUUCAAUCGCAUAUUCAAAAAUGUUAAAAACAAGAUUAAUAUUUCUAUCUCCCCACUUGGAAAAUGCAGUAUUUCAUUUUUUACGAAUAACGUAUAUCCUGUGUUCCGUCCAAUCGCGUAUUAAAAAAAUGUGUGAAGUUUGGAUUAACUACACUCUUUGAGAAUUUCCUUAAAUAACCACUUUUUGAAAAUUUCUUAUAGGACUAAGUGAGUCUCCGCUGAGAAUUUCCUUAACUAACACAACACUACUUGAGUGAUAAUUUGUUAUAUCUUGAAUAGAGAAUAAAUCAGUUCCCUACUUUUGAAGGUACUAUUAACUUACACUAUAUUUGAAUGAGAACAAUAAACUUAGAAUUUAGAUGAAGGAAAUAAAACAGUUUCCUACUUUUGAAGGUACUACUCGAGUGAUAAUUUGUUAUAUCUUGAUAACGUGUCAUAUUUUUUUGCUAAGCGGACCCAUUUUUGUGGGGUGGUAUAAUAAUGGCGUUUGUUGUUUGUCAAGGGCAUAUACCCAUUUAUCCAUUAGCAGUUAGGUCACCUCACUCACCCACAACCUAGUACAUCAACAAAUAUUGCUUACAAAUUCUAGAAAAUUCAACCAAGAGAAAGAAAACCAAAUGCUCGCAAAUUAAUCUGUGUAACAUUAGUUUUUAUCCAUUAGUAUUUAUUUUACAUUGGAAGAAAUUCCAAAUUUAAUCUCGUAAAGAGGGAUAUGAAAAUACUUUGUAUAUCUAUUAUCAAAAUCUUUGAAUGUUUGAAUGAUUGAUCAUCAAGUCUCACACGAUUGAAUUUAGUUCAAGUGAGGAAGAAAUACACACAAACUAUUAUAUAUGAGGAUUGAAAAAUACACUACAAAAUCUUGUGAUAACAUUUCUAAUAUUCCUUUCUAUCUACAUUUUGUGAUAAGUUUUUUUUUUCCUUUUUUGAACAAACUAUAUUUAUCUACAUUAAGGGAGAGGAGGUGAUCUUAGCCUCACAAUGGGCUAGCAUAAUGUGGUUCAAAUUCGCCUUUGGCGAUAAUCGAACCUAAAACUUAUCAUUUACAAGUAAAUAGGAAUACCACUAGAUGGAUCAUGAAAUUAGCAGUCUUAUAGGUAAAAAAAAAUUGAUCGACUAAAUGAUGUGUUAAAAAACAAGAUUAAUACUUGCAUCUCUCCACUUGAAAAAUGUAGAUAUUUCUGUGAACACGGAAAAUUCCUGAAACGAAAGAGACAAGAACAACGUGCACAAAAUAAUAUUUUGGUGUUAAUGGAUUUGUUGGGUUACGAUCUCUUUUAACUUGAUCCUCUGAUUCGAUCUCCGUAAGGUGUUGAUUUAUGGAUGUUUCGUUGAUCCAAGGGCUGUUGAGGCUUGAUCUUAGAUGAACUGUUGGAAGUUUCUUCAAGGGGCCGUGGGCUUGAUCUUUGAAGGUGGAUUUGAGCGGAUCUUCAAGGAGCCGUUGGGGCUUGAUCUUGAGGAUGAGUGUUUCUUCAAGGGCCGUUAAGGCUUGAUCUUGAAUAACGGUGAUGAACGGAUCUUCAAGGGCUUUUGGGCUUGAUCUUGAAGAACGGUUGGAUGUGUGGAUUUGUUGAUGUUGUUGAUCCAAGGGCCGUCGGAGCUUGAUCUUGGAAGAACGAUGAACGAAGAACGAAGAACACUUUCUUCAAAGGCCGUCGGGGCUUGAUCUUGAAUUGGUGAUUGUUGAUCCAAGGGCCGUCGGGGCUUGAUCUUGGAAGAACGAUGAACGAAGAACGAAGAACACUUUCUUCAAGGGCUGUCGGGGCUUGAUCUUGAAUUGGUGAUUGUUAAUCCAAGGGCCGUCGGGGCUUGAUCUUGAUUCUUCGGGAUGAACGGAUGAUGAACAAUGAACACUUUCUUCAAGGGCCGUCGGGGCUUGAUCUUGAAUUGGUGGAAGUUCUUCAAGGGCCUUUGGGGCUUGAUCUUGAAGGUGGAUGAUUGUUGAUCCAAGGGCCGUCGGGGCUUGAUCUUGGGAUGAACAGUUGUGUGGAUUUGUUGAACACUUUCUUCAAGGGCCGUCGAUGCUUGAUCUUGAAUUGGUGGAAGUUCUUCAAGGGCCGUUGGGGCUUGAUCUUGAAGGAGGAUUUGACGAAGAACGAAGAGGGCUUUCUUGAUCCUUCGGGAUUUGCUUGAAUUUGGGAGGUUGGAUGCUUGAAAGCUUUAGAGUUUCAAAGCUUCAAGGAUUUUGGAUGUGUGGGGAGUAUUCUCUUCCAUUUUGGGAGUAGAGAAAUGUAUUUGUGAAUUGGUUUUUGAUACCUUGAUGUAGAAGCCUAUUUAUAGGCUUUGAGAAUGAAUCACCACCACAAAAUAUUUUUUUUCUUUUCCAAGCACCAUUGCCUAAUUUCCCACUUAAUACAAUUUUAAACUUGAAGUGGUAAUUUUAUGGCCUAAUUUUCCACUUAAUAUCAUUUUAAACUUGAUAUGUGCAUGCUUUGUCAUUGCCCAAAAUGAGAAGAAAACCUUGUUUUGAUCUUCAAUGAAUUGAAAUGUGCUUGCCUUGUCAUUGCCCAAAAUGAGAAGAAAAACUUGUGUAAUCCUUCAAGGGUAUUUCUUUUUAUUUUGUUGAGUCGCACACCAUGUGUACAAUUUGUAUGACACGUGGCAUAUGCCAUGUACGCCUUGACACGUCAAAAUUUUAAUGCGUUGGUGAACAUUUAUUUCACCGCAAUUUCGGUGUCUACAAAUGCCCCCACUUCAAGGUGCGUCGUAUACAUGUGCUUGUCACGUGUAGGAGAUGCGUUUUGAAGUCCCUUACUGUAGAUGUCAAUCCAAUGGCCAUCGAGGCUUGAUCUUGAAUUGGGCUGGAGAUUUCUUCAAGGGCCGUUGAGGCUUGUUCUUGGACUUUGUUUGAAAUUUCUUCAAGGGCCAUCGAGGCUUGAUCUUGAAGGUUGAAAUUGGACCACAAGGAGCUUCAUGUGGUAGAUGAUCUUUGGCUUUGGUAGUGGAUGAAUCGGCACGUAUUUGUUUUUGCGCUUUGUUGACUUUCCACAGCUUUGAUCUUGAACUGGGUUGGAGGAUUUUUUGGAUUCCUCCAAUUGUUGAUUUUCCACAGUUUAUUCUUGAACUGGAUUUGAUUCAAAUAUGGUGGACGCUUGAUCUUGAAUCGGACUUGUGAUUUCCUCAAGGGCCGUCGAGGCUUGAUCUUGAAUUUGGCCGGAAACUUCUUCAAGGGCCGUUGAGGCUUGAUUCUUGAAGGUUGACUCGAACACAUGGCAAGCAGGCACGAGGUGAAGGUGACGACUUGUUGCUUUGUUCAAUCUUUCUAAUUCACACCUGAGCAGUUUGGUCAACGGUAUGAUCUUCAAGAUUGAUGGGCUCUUCUUCCAGUUGGUGAUUUGAUCUUUAAGGAUUUGAUUCAAGGGUGGUGAAACGGCACAUGCAGCCCACAACGCCUAGCAAGUCGACCCAAGAAUUUGAGGGUUAAAACGAGUCCUCCACCCAGAGUGAUUGCAAACCUGAUGAUAUGAGAUACUUUUGAUUUUGAAGAAGUAGCGGAUGAAUCGGCACGUGCUUUGUUGUGCUUGUCUCCACAUGCUUCAAUGUAUCAUUUUCCCUUGUCUUAUCUAUUCUUCUAGCAGAAUGUAGCAUCUUCUUAAGUUCUUCAACUCAGACUCCUUCUGCUGAGCUGACUGUGCAGGCUGCAUUAUUCUCUGCUUGUUUCUUUAGGCAGAUGUGGCAGCUUCUUGAGUUCCUCAGCUCGGACUCCUUCUGCUGAGCUGAUUGUGAAGACUGCAUUCUUAUCUGCUUGUUUCUUCUGUACGUUGUCUCCACAUGCUGCAAGGUAUCAUUUUCAAUUGCCUUAUUUGUUUUCCAGGCAAAUGUGGCAUCCGAGUUUGAGUGGAGGUUCUGGCAUAUUGUUUUCUUUAUCCUUGUCUUUGUAGGUAAGAACAAGGACAAAGGAAAGGACAGGGAGAACGCAUGAUAUGAUAUACUCUUGCUUUCUACCCUGGUGAUAUGAGAUACUUUUGCUUUGGUGUCAUUUGUUUGCAGAGGUACCCCAAGGAAUAAGAAACACUGAGUGACUCGAGAGGCUUUGUUGGGAAGGCAUUCUAGGAGAUGAAGAAAGGUUCUUGGAGAUGAAGAAAGGUUCUCGGAGAUGAAGAAAGGUUAUGUAUGUCUGCCUUGCUAUGGAGGGUAAAGGUGGACAGUUAUAGGAAAUUCUUUAGUACCUGUAGAGGUACUAUUCUUUUACUCGUGUCGGCAACCAAUGUGUGAUUGAUCAGUAUGGCUUCACGUGUUUUCUUCUUUAUCAGAAAUCUUCGACAAAUUGUCCGUAAUUUUCGUCAAGCUGAGUGUGCAUGUGACAGGUGUUGACGAGGCUGAAAAAGACUGGUGCCUCUUCGAUAUCUGGGAUCGGCGCUUCGACAAAUUGCCCGUGAUUUCCGCAAAGCUGAGUUUGCGCGUGACGGGUGCUGACGAGGCUGAAAAAGACUGGCGCCUCUUCGAUAUCUGGGAUUGGCGCUUUAACAAAUUGCCCAUGAUUUCUGCAAAGCUGAGUUUGCACGUGACGGGUGCUAACGCGUCUGGAAAAGCAAGAUGCUUCUCCGAUUUCUGAGCUUGCCUCUUUGAUUUUUGAAUUGGCCUCUUCGAAUUCUGAGCUCGCCUCUUCGAUCUUUGAAAUCCCAUCGAGUGUUGAUCUUUAUAGAGGCACGCAGUUCGUUUCAAAGCACACUUGAAUUUUCGCUUGUAGAAACUCCCUUCUUGCACUUCUAAGAUCUUGAUUUGUCCGACCUCUUCUUUCUUCAACACCUUUGAAAAUGUCUGGACCCUCCGACCGUCAUUUUGAUUUGAACCUUGGUGAAGAGGUAGUCCCGUCUUCUCCAGAUAACAUAUGACGCCCAUCUUUCAUAUCCCCUACUGGUCCUCUUACCGUUGGGGAUUCGGUGGUGAAGAAUGAUAUGACCGCUGCGGUGGUGGCCCGAAACCUUGUCACUCCCAGAGAUAACAGACUACUUUCCAAACGGUCUGAUGAGUUGGCUGUUAAGGAUUCUCUGGCUCUCAGUGUGCAGUGUGCAGGUUCUGUGUCUAAUAUGGCCCAACGCCUAUUUGCUCGAACCCGUCAAGUUGAAUCAUUGGCGGCUGAAGUGAUGAGUCUCAAACAGGAGAUAUUAGAGGGCUCAAGCAGAGAGAUAAACAGUUGCAUAAGCUCGCACAUAGCUAUGCGACAAACAUGAAGAGGAAGAUUAACCAGAUGCAGGAAUCUGAUGGUCAGAUUUUACUUGAUCAUCAGAGGUUUGUGGGUUUGUUCCAGCAGCAUUUGCCUUCGUCUUCUGGGGCUGUACCGCGUAAUGAAGCUCCAAAUGAUCAACCCUUGGCUCCUCUUCUUCCUGGAGUUCCGCCGAGUGGUGUGGCUUCAAACAGUCAACCUCCGACGCCUCUCAUUUCUGGAGCUCUGCUGAGUGGUGAGGUGGCACCUAAUCGUCCUUGAAGAUCCCCUCUUGUAAAUUUGAUUUGAUUUUUUUUUAAGUAUGUAUAAUGCAAAUUUAUGUAAAAUUUCCAGAAAAAAUAAAUAAAAACGGACUUUAUUUCUCUCAAUGCAUUUGUUUUGUUUUGUUUUUGUUUUUUUUGUUUUUUUGUUUUUGUUUUUUUUGUAAAUACAUAAUAACAUAUGUAUUUAUUUAUUUAUUCUUUUGUAAUAAAAUUGACUUUCUUUAAUAAAACUUUUAUAUUUUUCUUAUUUAUUUUGAUAUGACUGAACUCGAAAUUGAAUGUUCGAGCCGCCUACGUACCCUUCCAAAGAAGAGAUCAAGCCAUAACGUAGUUCAAAUGAGUGAUGAAUUUAAUAGUGAUUUUGAUGAUGAUUUUGCCGUACACAGUUUAUGCUCUUGUGGGCCAGGAGCUUUGGUGUUGCCUUUUAUGCUCGUGCAGACCAGGAGCGUUGAUGUCGCCUUUUAUGCUCGUGUGGGUCAGGAGCGUUGAUGUUGCCUUUUAUGCUCGUGCAGACCAGGAGCUUUGUGCCAUGCAGUUUAGACUCGUGCGGGCAAGGAGCUUUGGUUCGUGCAGUUUAGGCUCAUGCGAACAAGGAGCAUUGGUUCGUGCAGUUUAGGCUCGUGCGAACAAGGAGCAUUGGUGUUGCCUUUUAUGCUCGUGCAGACCAGGAGCUUUGUGCUAUGCAGUUUAGACUCGUGCGGGUGAGGAGAAUUUGUGAAUUUUGUCAAGCACUUUUGGAGAGGCGUUCCUUACAAUCUUCAUAGCAAGGAGCCUUGACCGAGUGAUUGAAGAAGUCUUCGGGAAAGAAGUCGCACAUCGUGAUGGCAACAGACGAUCUUUGUGUCGUAAUUUCAUCAUCUUCAACACGUUCACGUUGCUUUGAAGGUUGACAAGAGCUGCUUUGCCCCCUUUCCGAUUGGCGGACUUGUGGAGGAGACGUAUGCUUCUUGUGCCAUUUCUUAGGAGUGACUUGAGUCCAUCCUUCAAGUUUGCUUGUUUUGGAGGAUGCCCCCGGCGGUUGAGGUGAAAAUUUUGUGUUGAAAGAGCCAGAAGUGAUGGUGGUAUAGUUUGACUUCACCACAUCGUCAAGAUCUAGCUCGAUGAUUCCUUUCUGAGCCCACUUUAUGAUGAGAUCUUUCAGCACAAAGCACUUUUCUGUCGGAUGACUGAUGAAGCGGUGGAAUUUACAGUAUCUUGGACUGUUGGUACGAUUCAUCUCUUCCGGCCAUCUGCACUCAGGCAAACUGAUCACCUUCUUGUCCAACAGGUCAUCCAACAUGGCAACCACAUCAGAGUCAGGGAAUGGAUAAGUCUUCUCUUUAAGCUCCUUCAAAGUGCGUCUACGCAUCUCUUGAUCACGAAAAGCUUCGGUUUGAAUCGUUUUGCCUCGUGUGGAGAUUUUGACGGGAGAUGUGUUGACUGUCAUUGCUUCCUUGGUGGAUUUCCACGUAGCCUUCUCCACCUUUGUCUCAAGAAUUUUGUCGUUCUUGUAGUCGGCGAUCGGUUCCUUCUUCCCAUGAUGGGUGAUGCUCAACUCCAUGUCAUGGGCGUGGGUGGCCAAUUCCUCGAAGGUCCGUGGUUUAAUGCCUUGAAGGAUGUAUUGCAAACCUCAUUGCAUGCCUUGGAUGCACAUCUCGAUUGAAGAGGUCUCCGAGAGCCUAUCUUUGCAGUCGAGGCUUAGAGUGCGCCAUCUGUUGAUGUAGUCAAUGACCGGCUCAUCUUUCCAUUGCUUCAUACUUGUGAGCUCCAACAUGCUUACAGUGCGGCGGGUGUUGUAGAAGCGGUUGAGGAAUUCCCGCUCCAAUUGCUCCCAGCUGUUGAUGGACUCAGGCUCUAGGUCCGUGUACCACUCAAAUGCGUUUCUUUUCAGCGAGCGCAUAAACUGCUUGGCGAAGUAGUCCCCCUCCGUCCCCGCGUUGUUGCAAGUUUUGACGAAAUGUGCAACGUGCUGCUUUGGGUUUCCUUUUCCAUCAAACUGCAUGAACUUUGGUGGUUGAUAUCCCAUCGGCAUCUUUAGGGCAUCAAUCUUCUUUGAAUAAGGCUUUGAGUACAACCCGGAGGUAUUUGAGCUCCCUUCGUACUAUGCCUUGACGGUGCUGGCAAUCAUCUCUUGCAACUGUUGGAUAGAAAGAGAUCCCAUGAGUGCCGCUUCUUGGUCUGGCUCCGGCUUCACAUCGAUUUUCUCCACCGUAGGCUCAUCUUCUGGGUUAGGGUUCUCGCUGUCCUGUGGCUCCAGUUGACUGAUGAGUGCAGCGAUUUGCAAGUCUUUUUCUUCCACAGUUCGGGUUAGCCUUGCGAUUGCUUCAUUCAUUUGAGCCAGUUGUUCUUCGAUGGAGGUAACGCCGAUGGUCAUGACUUGUGCAACCAAUAGACGUGACUUUCCUUUAGACAUCCAAGAUGCUGAAGAAGAACGUCAUUGGUUGUUUUGGGAUGUCAUCUUGUGUGCCUCAGCAACAUGCUUUGGUGCCCCCAGCGAGGUCAGGUUGAUGACAGACUCACACCUUUGAUGCUCCCUUUGCUCUUUUAGCGGCACCAACUUUGAAGUGGCAUGUUAAGGAGCGGUUGUGGUGCUAAUGGAUUGUCCAUUUGCGGCAGAAGUGCUUAGGAUCCUUCCCUCAGUGAUUGCGAGAACGGCUUGUCCCUUGCUUGAUGCCAUUGAUUUUGAGGUGUGUUUGGAUUCCUUAAACGGAGAAAGAUAUGAGAGGUAGAGAUUGUCCCACCGGGCGUGCCAAUUUGUGAACACGAAAAUUUCCUGAAACGAAAGAGACAAGAACAACGUGCACAAAAUAAUAUUUUGGUGUUAAUGGAUUUGUUGGGUUACGAUCUCUUUUAACUUGAUCCUCUGAUUCGAUCUCCGUAAGGUGUUGAUUUAUGGAUGUUUCGUUGAUCUAAGGGCCGUCGAGGCUUGAUCUUGGAUGAACUGUUGGAAGUUUCUUCAAGGGGCCGUGGGCUUGAUCUUUGAAGGUGGAUUUGAGCGGAUCUUCAAGGAGCCGUUGGGGCUUGAUCUUGAGGAUGAGUGUUUCUUCAAGGGCCGUUAAGGCUUGAUCUUGAAUAACGGUGAUGAACGGAUCUUCAAGGGCUUUUGGGCUUGAUCUUGAAGAACGGUUGGAUGUGUGGAUUUGUUGAUGUUGUUGAUCCAAGGGCCGUCGGGGCUUGAUCUUGGAAGAACGAUGAACGAAGAACGAAGAACACUUUCUUCAAAGGCCGUCGGGGCUUGAUCUUGAAUUGGUGAUUGUUGAUCCAAGGGCCGUCGGGGCUUGAUCUUGGAAGAACGGUGAACGAAGAAUGAAGAACGAAGAACACUUUCUUCAAGGGCCGUCGGGGCUUGAUCUUGAAUUGGUGAUUGUUAAUCAAAGGGCCGUCGGGGCUUGAUCUUGGAAGAACGAUGAACGAAGAACGAAGAAGGCUUUCUUGAUUCUUCGGGAUGAACGGAUGAUGAACAAUGAACACUUUCUUCAAGGGCCAUCGGGGCUUGAUCUUGAAUUGGUGGAAGUUCUUCAGGGCCUUUGGGGCUUGAUCUUGAAGGUGGAUGAUUGUUGAUCCAAGGGCCGUCGGGGCUUGAUCUUGGGAUGAACAGUUGUGUGGAUUUGUUGAACACUUUCUUCAAGGGCCGUCGAUGCUUGAUCUUGAAUUGGUGGAAGUUCGUCAAGGGCCGUUGGGGCUUGAUCUUGAAGAAGGAUUUGACGAAGAACGAAGAGAGCUUUCUUGAUCCUUCGGAAUUUGCUUGAAUUUGGGAGGUUGGAUGCUUGAAAGCUUUAGAGUUUCAAAGCUUCAAGGAUUUUGGAUGUGUGGGGAGUAUUCUCUUACAUUUUGGGAGUAGAGAAAUGUAUUUGUGAAUUGGUUUUUGAUACCUUGAUGUAGAAGCCUAUUUAUAGGCUUUGAGAAUGAAUCACCACCACAAAAUAUUUUUUUCUUUUCCAAGCACCAUUGCCUAAUUUCCCACUUAAUACAAUUUUAAACUUGAAGUGGUAAUUUUAUGGCCUAAUUUUCCACUUAAUAUCAUUUUAAACUUGAUAUGUGCAUGCUUUGUCAUUGCCCAAAAUGAGAAGAAAACCUUGUUUUGAUCUUCAAUGGAUUGAAAUGUGCUUUGCCUUGUCAUUGCCCAAAAUGAGAAGAAAAACUUGUGUAAUCCUCCAAGGGUAUUUCUUUUUAUUUUGUUGAGUCACACACCAUGUGUACAAUUUGUAUGACACGUGGCAUAUGCCAUAUAUGCCUUGACACGUCAAAAUUUUAAUGCGUUGGUGAACAUUUAUUUCACCGCAAUUUCGAUGUCUACAAUUUCAUUUCUUGUGAAUAAUGUUUAUCCUGUGUUCUGUCCAAUCGCGUAUUAAAAAAUGUGUGAAGUUUGGAUUAACCACACUCUUUUAGAAUUUCCUUUAUUUACCACUUUUUGAGAAUUUCCAAUAAGACUGGGUGAGUCUCCGCUGAGAAUUUCCUCAACUAACACCACACUACUUGAGGGAUAAUUUGUUAUAUCUUUGAAUAAAGAAUAAAACAGUUUCCUACUUUUGAAGGUACUAUUAACUUACACUAUAUUUGGAUGAAGGUCAAACUUUAUAAAUUGACAUACACCAAAUUCUUUGUUUGGAUUCAUAAACAUAUAAAUUUAGAAUUUCCGCGUGGAAAAAAAAAAUACUUAGAAUUUGAGACCUCCAAUUCUCAAAUUGAAAGUUUAAAAAUAAUAAAUUCCGUAUUCAAUUCAAUUGUUCUUUUAGGUUAACCAAAUAAGAAAAUUCACAAAUUCUAAAAUAUAAAAUCUCAUCAUUUCAAUUUCCGUCAUUUUAAAAUUCCUUAGUAAUAUUAAAUUUCUUCAUCCAAACAUAGUGUUAAGAAAUUUUUUAAAGAUACACUAUUUACACUCAUUUUUAUUUCUUACACAUUUAUUAACUUUGUCCAUUGAUUUCUUCAAUUCAUUUUGCCAGUUAUACAAAAAUUGAGAACAGUAUUUAUGAAUUAAAAAUACAUUUGUAGAUGUCACUACCAAAUUUUUAUUCCUAAUUCAAGAAAAUCUUAUCCAUAUAUGAUUGCCCUUGCCCACUUUAAAUGGGUGCCAUCACUUUACGAUAGAGCAAUCCUAACCGUCCACCUAGGUAAGCAUAACUGGCGAUGCAUGUCGCAAGGGGACCGCAUUGCACAAUAUAAUUAUACUAGUUGAUAAGACAAGUGAUGUCAAUCAAUAAAUUAUUUCAUUAAAACUUAGUUGUAUGUAUCAUAUGUUGUAAUGUAGGGUGUAUGAUAUGCUGACGCUGUAAAAAAAUGUAACCUUUUUAAUAUUACUCAUAAUAGUAAGACUUACCAGUAUUAGGAUGUUAUCAGUGGAAUGAGAAUCCUCUCCAGAUCUUUUUUGUGAGCUAUUAUUUGUAUUUAAUUUUAAAUAUAAAAAAUUAAAAUAAUUUAUGACGGCAGUGAUUCACAUGAUCUUCACAAAGAGAAUCCAAAUAAUCUUAAUUUAUAUCAGUGUGUCUAGAUAACAUGAUCGAGCCCCUUUACUUUUACCCUAUUUAGUAUUUUACAUUUGAACCUGUAAAUAUUCGAUUUUUCUUUGGUGCAACCGAGCACCAAAUAUAGAUUUUUUUUCACUUUUAUAUAAUGAUAAAUAAAGGGCAAUUGGCAGAUUUGAAUUCCAUUCGGAUUGGUCAAAAAUCAUUUUAAAUUGUUUUAUUUAAAAUUAAACACAUAUAGUACUUAAUAAAAAUUAGUCGUACAAUAUACGAUAAACAGAUAUAAUGUAAGGACCUUUAUGAUCUUCACAAAAAAGAUCCAAAGGUUGUGUAGCUGUUUCAAAAGGAUAAUACUCACUUUUGAUUAGUUCAAUGAAAUUUUAAACAUGUUUUAUUGUUUUAAAAAAUAAUAAACAUAUUUAUUAAUGUUUGUUUUACUUUAAAAAAUAAGCAGCACUUGACAACAUUUGAUUGUGCUAAAUAAAAAAUGAGUGACCACUUAGUACUACAGUCUUAUGAUAUUUUUCUUCAUUUGAAAGUGAGAGGUUUUAAGUUCGAAUCUCGUGGAUGACGAAUUUGAUAUCAAAUUAGAUUGCUCACUAUGUGGCUUAGCCGAACUCUCAUUUCCUUUAAUGUAAAAAUAUUGAUGUAUUCAAAAAAAUAAAAAGUGACUAUAGAGGACACUCAAUCUCAGCUGUAUGAUUAAAUCAGACGGUAAGAAAAAUUCUGCAAGCAUACUCGGUUACAUUAAUUGAAGAAAAAAUGGGUAAAUAUUGGGCACCAACGUUAUAAAUACCCUCCACCAUGCACCCAACUCCCUCACACCAUCACAACCCACGUUACAAAUCCUCCUCCUCAUCAUAACCAUUCUGUUUUCCGCAUAAUAUCCAAAAACCUAUCAUGUCUGAAGAGAAACACCACCGCGGUCUCUUCCACCACCACAAGGAUGAAGACAAACCCUCAGACUACCCUCAGUCUGGCUACUCUGAUGAAGGACGUCCCGGCGGCCUCGGUGGUGGUUACGGCGACACCAAUGAUUAUUCUGGUGAAGGACGUACCGGCGGCCUAGGUGGUGGCUAUGGCGACACCAAUGCUUAUUCUGGUGAAGGACGUCCCGGCGGCUAUGGCGGCUAUAACGAGACCACUGCUUACUCUGAGGAAAGAGUUGAAAGACCCGGCGGUGGCCGGUACAGUGAGACUACUGCGGCAUAUGGCAGCACCACCACUCAUGAAUCUGAACUUGAUUACAAGAAGGAGGAGAAGCACCACAAGCAUCUCGAGCACCUCGGCGAGGCCGGUGUAGCUGCUGCCGGCGCUUUUGCCUUGGUACGUAUUGUAUUUUAACCCACCUCUAUAUAUAUAUAUAUUAGAAUAAUGCUAAUAAGACCAAAUUUUGAAAACUAAAUGAUGUGGUUGUUGAUAAUGAACUUAUUACUCAAGUCUUGAUUAACAUGCUUAUUUUCUAAUAGUGACACAUUAUUUGGUUUAGAAAUUUGGUCUUCCUAACUUUAUCAUUCUCAAAAUUUUCAUGAUUUUGAUAGGGUAAUACGGGAGAUCAAAAUUUCUAAACCAAAUUUGCAAACCAAUAGAUGAUUGGAUUAUUAAUUAAGUAUCGAUUGUUUGUUUCUUAUUAACGACAUAUCAUUUGAUUUACAAUUUAGUUAAAAAAAAUUUAUUCUUUCUGUCAUAUCCUUUUGAAUAUUUGAUCACUUUACUCUUUAUCACUUUACCCUUGAUCACUUUACCCAUACUCUUGCAACCGAAUCACCGUCCUCCUCCUUAACCUUCAUUUUUUUGUCUUACAGUACUCCAAUCUAUCAACUCUGUCCAUUGCAACUUUAAUUGUGAAGAAAAUUAAAGUCCUAUCGUAAAAUUAAUUAGUGAUAUGGAGAGUUGCGCAAUUAUUGAUGGACUAGGUAGGUAAGAUACGGAAUCAAAGUCUACCAUUAACAAUGGACGGAAUUGAUGAACCAUAUAGGUAUGUAAGAUACGGAAUCAAAGUCCUCAUGUAAAUGGUACAGUUGCAAUCAGGAGAAGAAAUGAGUUAACUGAUACCUUCGUAAUAGUUCAUGUAGAGUUUUGAUAUUAUUAAGCCUUAACCACCUGAUCUUAUAUAUACGAGGACAAAUCUAAUCAAAUAUGUGUUAAUUUCAAGGUUUGUUUUACAUUGAUGUGAGAUCGAUGCUAGCAAGAUAUAUAACUUAUGUCAGUUUCUAUAUGAUGUGUGUAGCAUGAGAAGCACAAUGAAAAGAAAGACCCAGAGCAUGCCCACAGGCACAAGAUAGAAGAGGAGAUUGCUGCAGCAGCUGCAGUUGGUUCGGGUGGAUUUGCCUUCCAUGAGCAUCAUGAGAAGAAAGAGACAAAGGAAGAAGAGGAAGAGGCUUAUGGAAAGAAGAAGCACCACCACUUCUAGAUCUAUGUGGAUUGUGGAACAUCAUCUUUUGACUACAUAUGCAAUGUUGUGUUUUUACUAGUUAUCAUGUGGUGUGAUCAGUGAGAGUGUGAUGCUUAAUCUCAACAAUAUCGCUACAAUAGUUGAGUGGUUAAAUGUCCUUUUCAAUUAAUGGGUGCUAUCUGGUUUUCUUUUAGCAUGCCAUCUAUGUAUGUAUGUAUGUAUGUAUGUCAUUGUUAUUGUUCAUAAUAAUACUGUUUACUCGGUGUUUAUUUCCUAGUGGCCACAUCUCAUUUUAAAUGAUUUCUUCAUACCAUUAAUUUUUUAAAUGUAAAGACUCAGUAUCCAUAUAACUACGAAAAUUUUUGACAAAACAAAAACAAGAAAAAAGAAAAGGAAAAAAUGGCUUAGCAAGUUUGUAUCCUAUAAGACAAAUGGGUACGUGGAACGAUGGACAUCUCACAAUGGUUUUUGAAUCGUCGGAUCAUCAUGGUUGGACUAUAUAAUUAUCAUUGAUAUAAUAUAAAUUUUGAUUUUUUUUUAGGAAAUUAAUAUCUGAAAACAAUAUUGAUGUACUGCAUUUGUUUUGGACGAUAUUAUACUUUAAUCCAAAUUUUGAGAAAAAAAAAACAUAUCGAACUCAGGUGUACAAGAGUGGCUUUGCUACCCAUGUACAGGGCUAGUUCUGAGUUUUUGGGUGCCCAGUGCGAAAGCUCAAAAUGUGACAUUUUUUAAUACGAAAACAUAUAUUAAAAAAAAUAUUUAAUGAGGGCUGGAACCCAGUCGAAGCUGGAGGGCUAGGACCUCACGCCCAAAUUAUAUUACUUGAGAAAAUAUACAACUGAGGAGGGGACAUGGUACCUAAACCCCGACAAUCAAAAGUACAAUCAUAUACAACCACUCCUAGCAAAUCUCCUUCAAAUUUCAACCUUUAAGAAAUUGUCUUCUGGCAUUUUUUGAAGCAAAAUCAUCAAUUAUAUCAUCAUACUCCAAGUCUUCAAUCUCAUCAUUUUCAAUGCAUAAGAUUGCUAAUCCAUUUAGCCUAUCUUGAGUCAUAGUGGUCCGCAAGUAAGAUUUUAAUAAUUUCAAUUUUGAAAAACUUCUUUUUGCAGAUGCCAUGGUCACAAGUACAGUUAACAGUACACGAUAAGCAAUCAAGACAUUAGGACACAUGUCAGUUUCUUUUACAAAAUUUGCUAUUUCCAUGGAUGUCCAAGGGUUAUUAGAGAGAAAUGCUUCUUCAGGUAAUAUCAUUUGCAAAACCUGCAAUUCGGAAUAUAAGUCAACUCCAUCUACAUCCAUGGUAUUUCCAUGUUUCAAAUGUGCUUCAAGAUUCAUACAAUUUUCUUUUAGCUCUUGAUCAUCCAAUGAAAUUAACUUUGGUGCAUCAAACAAGAAGCCAAAAAUAGAUUCAAAGGAUUUUAACUGUUCAAACUUGUGUUUCAGUUGAGAAAGAGCAAUAUCCACUAUAACAAGAAAAUAAUAUUUCCUAAAUGAUUCUUUAGCAGAUUAUUGUUCCCUCUCAUUACCAUCAACUUCAUCAUGAUGUCUUUUUCUAGGUCUAUGACAUUUAGUUUGAAAAAACAGGGUCAAUUUCCAAAUCAAGUGCAAUUUCAUUAGCAUCACUCAUGGCGGAAGCAAAACCAGUUUCUCUGUAGUUUCCAAAAAAUGUAACAAAUGCUUCAAAUGCCUUUACAGCAACAUCAAGACGCAUGUCUUUAGAUUGUAAUUUUAUGCUCACCAUGUUAAUCUUCAACAAAAUGUCAUACUAAAUAACCAAACUUAAUACAAAAUCAAAACUUGAAAGUUCGCCUGAUGCUAAACAUCUUGCAUCCCUACUUAAUUGAGGAUUUUCAGUAAUUUCCACCAAUUAAACAAAGCAUUUCUAACCUGGGCUACUUGAGACUUAAUUGCUUUAACAUUUUCAAUG
RNAcentral lists this long non-coding RNA (52968 nucleotides) under Malus domestica (apple). RNAcentral's name for it is "long non-coding RNA (MDOM_LNC004302)". The record is from RNAcentral. Lineage: Eukaryota; Viridiplantae; Streptophyta; Magnoliopsida; Rosales; Rosaceae.